ACAAGAUUCAUGAUUAAUAAAUACCAACCAAAAAAUCGAGCUGAUGUGAACAUUGUGGAAAAUCCUUAUCGAGGCAUCUCUCUUAUUGAGGAUACAUUGGCCAGGUCAGAGAAAUAAAAAAAAAGGAAUCUUUCCAGUCUUUUCAACAACCAUUCAUGAUAACAUAAAUUUUCUCUAAUGAACAUAUAACUUCCAACAUAUCUAGUGCACAAUUUCAGGAGCAUCUUGCAUCCCCAGUCCUUCGUUCUGUGCCUUGAGCAAGUCCAGUUUCUUAUAGCAUUUGGCAGCAUCCAAGAGUAUGGUCAGCUCAUUGAAAAAUGCUUGGCUUAGACAAAUCGGAAUCGAGUUUCAUGCUGCCCCACUCUCCAUCACAACAUGCAAAGCACUACUUAAUCUUUGAUAGACAAUGCUAAUGAUACUAUCAGGAGUAACUGAGAACACUGAACACUGAGACUGAAGAAACAAUGACUGUAGAAUUUUGUUGCAAUUAACAUCAUAAAUUCUUACACUUACGAUACAAAUUUGAAGUGACCAAACAAUCUCUUACAGUGUUGAUCCCUGUCUAAGAACUCCAUAAGAUAAAGAUAAACUUAAAAGGAAAUCUGAAAACAAAAAGCCUAACUAGUAAUGAGUUUAUAUUACUGAAUAUCUUACUGAAUGAACCAUGAUUAACUAAAAAUGAGUUUAUAUUAUUCAUUGAUGAAAUUCACAUUUAGCAAUGUUUUCUUAUUGAGAUGGGGGAGAAAGGGAGGGAUAGAGAGAGAGAGAGAGAGAGAGAGAGAGAGAGAGAGAGAGAGUAGUANNNNNNNNNNNNNNNNNNNNNNNNNNNNNNNNNNNNNNNNNNNNNNNNNNNNNNNNNNNNNNNNNNNNNNNNNNNNNNNNNNNNNNNNNNNNNNNNNNNNNNNNNNNNNNNNNNNNNNNNNNNNNNNNNNNNNNNNNNNNNNNNNNNNNNNNNNNNNNNNNNNNNNNNNNNNNNNNNNNNNNNNNNNNNNNNNNNNNNNNNNNNNNNNNNNNNNNNNNNNNNNNNNNNNNNNNNNNNNNNNNNNNNNNNNNNNNNNNNNNNNNNNNNNNNNNNNNNNNNNNNNNNNNNNNNNNNNNNNNNNNNNNNNNNNNNNNNNNNNNNNNNNNNNNNNNNNNNNNNNNNNNNNNNNNNNNNNNNNNNNNNNNNNNNNNNNNNNNNNNNNNNNNNNNNNNNNNNNNNNNNNNNNNNNNNNNNNNNNNNNNNNNNNNNNNNNNNNNNNNNNNNNNNNNNNNNNNNNNNNNNNNNNNNNNNNNNNNNNNNNNNNNNNNNNNNNNNNNNNNNNNNNNNNNNNNNNNNNNNNNNNNNNNNNNNNNNNNNNNNNNNNNNNNNNNNNNNNNNNNNNNNNNNNNNNNNNNNNNNNNNNNNNNNNNNNNNNNNNNNNNNNNNNNNNNNNNNNNNNNNNNNNNNNNNNNNNNNNNNNNNNNNNNNNNNNNNNNNNNNNNNNNNNNNNNNNNNNNNNNNNNNNNNNNNNNNNNNNNNNNNNNNNNNNNNNNNNNNNNNNNNNNNNNNNNNNNNNNNNNNNNNNNNNNNNNNNNNNNNNNNNNNNAGAGAGAGAGAGAGUAGUUACUUAUUAAACAAACACAGUAGACAUGGCAAACGACAAACAUAUGCAAAAAUUUUAUAGAGGUAAAAAGCAAAAAGUAACCUGAGAAUACUUUCCACAUUGCAUAAAUAAACUAGAAACACUGGAAAACUUUAGUUCAUGCAGAAAAUGAGAAUAAAAUCAAUCAUCGCAUAUGACUGAAAAUAGACAUGUAGAAGCAUCAGACAUAUUAUUGAAAAAUUGUUAAAAGAAAGCAAGAAAGUGCAAAUAAAAAACAACAGAUAUAAUCUAGAUGAAUAUUCAAUGGAAUUUAUACUUGAUUUUCAAUGAACACAAAUGUCAAAAUGUAGUAAAUAACUUUCACAAGAACAAUUCCAUAAUUAAGAUUGGACACCGAAUACUUCGUUAGAUACUCCCAUAUGAAGAAGGCAGGUCCUUGGCAAACAAUGAAUACAUAAACUAUCUGAUUUAACUUUAAAGUUAUCUUGGAUAAAGUAUCGCACUUCAGGAUAAAUUUAACAUGAUACUUUGAAAAUUUGCCUAGAAAAGCAUAAUACUUGCAUGAUAACCUAGACUACCACAGGUUAAAAUUUGAGCAAACAAGAUAGAGAAGAAGAAAUUUCAAGGGAGAAAAAGUUCACAACAAGGAUAAGCUAACUUCCUGAAAUGAUUUACUAACAAAGGAUAUUCCGAUUUGGCCUGAUGUCUGUAAACUGUCAUGUCUAGUAUUCCAAAUCUUUAGCAAGCAAUUAAAGGCACAUUCCCUCAACAGCCGGAUUUUAUCAAAUCAUAAGGAUGAAGGUACCUCAGCGAACAUAUAUACAGUGAAGUUACAAUCACUACAAUUCCUCUCAUCACGGUUGAAUUUUGUCAAAUGGGUGAAUAACAACUUAGCAUUGCUAAGAACUGAACAAGCACUUGUGGUCAAAAUUUAUAGGACCCAUGGUCAAAAGUGCCAACCAUUUGCACGCCAAUAGCUCUGUGAAUUAGCAUUGAGACGUGCAUUUUUUACUUUCAAAAAGAGUCUGUAUGCAGUCUCUAUUUUAUUCAUCUCCAAUAGUUUGUUGUUUAGUUUACUAUAAACUAUUCUACCAAGGCAAAAACCUUUGUGCAGUGAUUCCUCCACAACCAGAACAGCAUUGUCAACCUGCCCUAUAUUGCAGAGUACAUUGACUAUAUACUCAUAAACUUCCUUAUCAGAAGCAUAACCAUUGUCUUGCAUCUCCUCCCAGAUUUUCAGCACCAUUCCAGAUUUACCAAACCUCGAAAGCCUCAUAAGCAAAAGCUUGUAAGCUUUCAAAGACAGCAUACAUCCUGCUUUCCUACUCUUUUUAUAAAGAAGCAUAGCAGCAUGGGGAGGCCCAAAGCUACAAAGAGGCUCAAUAAAACAUGUAAUCAUCCCAGUACUGGGCAAAAUUCCUUUACCUAACAUAUCAUCGAACAGUUCAAGUGCAUCAGCCACUCUUCUACCUUUGAGCAAUGCACCAAUCAAUUUGGUAUAAGUAUCGACGUUUGGCAAACACUCGCUUUGUGUCAUACCUUUAUAGUACUCAAUGCAUCUGUCAAAGUCUCCAAUUGAUAUGAAGUUAGAGAUCAUCGCAUUGUAUGUCAUAGUAUCUCGAGCACUUCCCCUCUCCUCCAACUUCUCGAAAACAUCCACAGCAUCAUCGAUCCGGCCAGCUCGUCCUAAUGCUUCUAUGAUGUGGCUAAACGUAACACUAUCAGGGCUCAAACCAUCGGUCAUCAUCAUCAUCAUCCAAUAAUGCUCUACCUUGUCAAGCCUACCGAACUUCGCCCACCCACCAAUAAUCUCAUUAUAUGUUGCAUUAUCAAAAGGAAUUUCUCCUUUAGUAGUGUUGAAUACAGAAUUUGCAACCUUGACAUGAGACCUUCGACACAGGCACCGCAAAAGUAUAUUGAGAGACUCCAAAUUACACUUGGCUCCAAUCUCCUCCAACUCCCUGAACAACUGAACUGCUUUAGAAACUUGGCGAGCCCUAAGAUAACUGUCCAUCAGAAUCUCCACGGUCUCUGCGUUGGGUUGGACAUCAGCAUUCUUCAUUCUAAGCAAGAUUUCUCCCACAAAAUCGAAGAACUUCCUCCGGCCAAGCGCCUUCAACAUCACGUUAUACGUUUCAACGCAAGGUGUCACCUUUGGCUGUUGCAUUGCCCAAUCGAAGAAGGAGACCAUCGCCUCUCCGCUCCAACUUCCCCUGUUCAGUACAUCGGCGAAGAUCUUCUCCGUCAGGUCGACGCCGACGGUGGAGAGCGCGGACUCCACGGCGGAUCUUCCCCGCAGCUUCUGAAGAAAGACCCCGCGGAGCUUCUCAUCAGGCGUGAGGAUUCGAUCUCGAAGGCUAAUCAAAGCCGAUUCUUGAGCUGGUUUCUCAGUCAAAAGGCGGGCUUUCGGAGGUUCAGGAUCGAUAGAGAGGAGCUCCGAUAGCUGUUCGAGGACGAAUCCCUCGGAAAGGCUAGUGUUCGAUUCAAUAGGAUCGGAAGAGCCUUCGCAAAGAUCAACGGAGAGGAAUCGAAGAAGACUAGCGAAGGACAAGGGGGAGAGUUGGCAUCGGCUUCUUUGGAGAGGGCGAAGGAACCCUAGAAUUCGAAGAAUCGCCAUUACCAGAUUUCGAGUCUCAGGUAACUAAAGCGGGGACGUUGGAUGAUCCUGUCCGUCCACGUGUCGGAAUAAUAUAAGACAGAUACGUACAAAUUGGACUUCAAUUUCGCACAUCGUAGUUUCUUCUAUAUAUUAAAAAUUGACAAAAUUGGAUCCUAAGAGUUAUAAAAGUAUAAUAAUUAAUUUUAUUUUUUAUUUUCUAACGUCAUCGAUCGUAUUAACCAAAGAUACAACGCAUAUCAUUAAUUAAAUAAUAAAAGAAUUUACUCAUUUUGUAAAUAGUUGAAUUAUUAAUUAAAUGAUAAAAAGAAAGGGGUGAUUGGCUGAUUUCUUCCCGCGAAUCGGUCUCUCUCACUCCCAUUGCAAUGUGCUGAGUAAUUUUUGGUUUGGGGAUUGAUCACGAACGAACGAACGAACGAACGAACAACAAAGCAGCAGCAGUAGCAGCAGCAGCAGUAAUGAAUAAAUACACUGAUAUGAGAUCGCAACAGUGGCAUUCAUCUGAAACCUUUAAAUGAACAUCAAUUUAUCCGAACAAUAAUUCUUCUCAGCAGAACAACGAUUCAUAUGCAACUGCUGCAUUCAUCCGAACAACAUUUCCAAGCAGGAAAGCUUUAAAUGAAAAAUAAAAAGACAGUAAAAGUCUGUUGUUGCAUUGAAAAAGUAACAUUCACAAUGGAGAUUGAAAGUAACGUUAAUGAGCAAGACCUAUUCCCUAGCAAUUGCUCAGAACAAACAAAGUUCUCCCCACGAAAUCUAAUUAAAAGUUUUUUUUUGUUAUCAAAUUAGAGUAGACUAAGAAGCAUUAGUUUAGACAUAGUAAAAGGAGACGAAAGAAAUAUUAAAAUUAUCAUUUUACCGAUAUGAUGUUAGAGAAAAUAGAGUCAAUUAUUUUAAUUUUAUAAUUUUACCGAUAUGAUCUCAAUAUAAAUUUUAUGUAAUUGAUAGAAGUUAUUAUUGUUAUGAUUCAUCGUUACUUCUUUUCUUGAAUAAUUUAAUGGUUUGCUUGUGGAUCUCAAUAGAACACAACGAAAGAUCUGAAAGAGAAGUGCCAAACACAGAAAUGCUUUACUUAAGUUACGUGAUCAAAUGAGUGGAAAAGUAGGUUUUUUUUUCACAUUGUAAGUUGGAAUUAGGUCGACAUGUCUCACACAUGUUGGACACUCACGUAAGAUUUAGAGUUUGUCGUAAGAUUUAUAUUAAUUAUAUAAAUACUAUUUUAUGUAUUUGACUUUUAGCUUGGAUAUUUAAAUUUUGAUAAUUUUAAUUGUUUUAACUGGUAUGAUGAUAUUUAUUUAUUUAUUCACAUUGCUGAGUUGAUAAAAUUUAAGCAUAAAUUUUAUAAGAUCCAUGUUAAUUGAAUAUUAUACAUACAUAUAUCUUUAAAAAUACAUGUGUUAUCGUAGUAUUCGUGUCCUAAUUUUUUUUAAAAAAAUGAAAUGUCAUGGUGUUUAUAUUGGUCUUGUAUUCAUGUUUAUGUUUAUGUUUCUUGGGGACAUAUUAAAUUCUUUCUAUUAAGAAAAAUGAUAUCUAAUUUAUAAUUUUAAUUUUUUUAAGAAAAAAAUAUAUUGAAAUAAGAUAAACUAUACUCUUUAUAGCAUACAAUUUGACUAAAAUCUAUUAGCCAUGACUCUCUCCAAAUACUACAAGACUUGAAGGUUUUCGCAAAAUGUGCUAAUAAGUUAGCACUCAUAUUUCUCUCCCUGAAAACAUGACCAAAUAUACAAGUUUGAAAACAACUUGCCCAACUAAAAAUAGUUCUAACAUAGUGUUUUAUCAAGUGCUAGCGAGGAUUAUCCUCUUUAUUAAGGAUUUUAAUAACAAGCUCUACAUCUAAUUCAACUUCAAGGUGUGUUAUCCCUAAGUAAUUUAUAAUCUUAAUUUGAUUGUCAUGAGUUUAGCCCCCCAGUAACAAACAGGUGUCUUAGAGGAAUUCAUAUCUAGCAAAAUUGCAUAUACCAUUGCUCAUCUUGAGAAAGAAUCCAAUCAUUCUUGUAUUAUCAUACAUCAAUAUUAAGUUUGAUCCAUCAUCCACUAAGUUUGGUCCAUGUUACAAGGAUUUGAUUUUCUCCAAUACAUCUAUCUAUCAGAUGACUUUUAAAUAUUUAUGGCAUAAAACAUAAGCUCUCAAUAAGAUAGAUAGUAAAAGAAUUAGCCUUAGUAUAAUUUCGAGCCUUCCAAAUAAACUAAAAGUAAUAGGCAAUAAAUAAAGGCUCUAAGAUCCAACUCCCUAAUCCACUUACUAUUUUUCCAUAUAUUUAUAAAUUAAAAACUUAUAUUCAACUCUCUUUUUUUCCAUAAAAUAAUAUUAAUAAAUUAUUUUGCUCAUCAACACAUAUGUAGAGGACAAAUAUUUAAUUUAGCCAACCUAACAGUGGUGGGAAACCUUUUACCCUGGGAAUGAUAAGAAGUUUCUAAAGCUAGACCCAACAAUUAGCCCAAGGGUUACUAUCAAGCAUAGGGCUUUUCAAAAAGCUUCCAACUCCAACUAAUAUUAACAACAGUGUCACUCUUUCAAUGGGAAACUUACCCAUAUUUAACAGUGUUAAUUUUGAACCAUAAAUUAUCCUCUUGAGACAUAUAGUGAUUCUUCUAAUUUGUGAGCAAUACUUAUAUUAUGGAGAUCGUGUAUAUUCAAACCAUUCUCAUGUUUGGGUUUAGUAAUAGUCUUCCAAGCAAUUAAGUGUACCAUUAUAUUUUUUUUUUGCCAAAGGAAGUCUCUUAUAGUUUUUUCCAAACCCGUCAAUACUCUAUUAGGAGCCAAAACACAUUGAAAGCAUAAGCCGAAGAAGCAUCGAGGACAAAAUUAGAAAGGGUGAUUUUACCGGCCUAUGACAAGUUGACCUCAUUCCAAUUGCCUAGCUUAGCUUCCUUUCUAAAUUUUGGGAUAUAUCAUGACAAGCAAAAGUAUGAAUUUUAUGAGGACUAAUUAAAGUGCCAAGAUACUUGAAAGGAAUUUUUUCGUUUUUUUACAUUGAAGAGAGAGCAUAUUUUACAUCUUUUCUCACUUGGAAUAUUGCAAGGGAAGAAGAUAUCAGAUUUAUUAAGUGAGAUCCUCUUGAAAAUUUUUCUUGAAUAUUACAACACGACUUCCUAUUGGCUCCAAAACAAAUAAGAAUAUUAUCAACAUAUAUUAAGUGAGAUAUGCUAAUCUGAUUUUUUAAAUUUAAAAGAAAGGAGCAUAUGAUCAAAACCACCUUGUUCAAUGAAGUAGUCAAAAUAAAAGGGGUCCCCUUGUUGGACUCUACGGUGGCUUUUGAAAUAAUUUGAGUAGUCCCCAUUAAUCAAGUAAGAGAAAAUAGGGAAGAAAAUAUAAGAUAAACCUCAUAAGAUAAAUCUAUUAGGAAAACCCAAGAGUGAUGAUGAUUAUAGUCCAAGAAAUAUUGUCUUAAGCCAUUUCGAGAUCGAUCUUAAACAUGACUAAGGGAUUAGAACCUUUGGAGUUAACAUAGAGUUGAUCACUUCUUGGGCAAUUAGGAUAUUGUCAUGAAAGCUUCUACUAGGGUGAAAAGUAGAUUGCUCAUGAGAUAUGAUUCUAGACAAUAAAGGUUUUAUCUUAGGAAGCGAGGAGUUUAGUAAGACUUUUGUAGUUAACGUUGCAAAGUAAGAUUGGUCUAGAGUUCAUAACCUAUUUAGGGUUGUUUGUCUUAGGGAUGACAACAACGUGGGUCUUAACCCAAUCCUUAUGCAAAGAAGCAUUAUGAUAAAAUUGAUUGAAAGCAAGGCCUAGAUGAUCAGAAAUAGUAUUCCAAUGAUUUCUAUAAAACUCAACUAUAUACCCAUCUUCUUGCACCCAAGAGAUUUCAAGGCUUCUCAUAUUUCUUUUUUAUCAAACGAUUGGAGGAGCCCCUCACUUUCCAUAGGAGUGAUACUAGUGCCAUAUGAUGAAAGGGUUUGCAGGACAAAGGUCAUUACUCUAAAGCUUCCGAUAGAAACUGACAUAUUCAUUCUUAAUUAACUCGGGUGGAUAGACACACCUAUUAGUAGAUCUCAUAGACUAGAUCAUGUUAUAACACCUAUGAGAUAUAAUUUAGAUUAUGAUAGAAUUUUGAGGUAUAAGGGACUCAAACGUGUUAAUCUCAUUGAUAGUGUUAAUCUCAUGUUACUUGCAUCGCUGACCGCAGGGGCAACCGCCCGCAUGGGCGACGGCUGCGGGAGUAGCCCCACGAGCAUAACCGCCCACGACGGCACCCAACCACAGGGGAGGCGUCGCCCGUGGGAAGGGGCAACGCCCCCGCGUCCCACAACCGCGUAGGCUGUCGUCGGCUGGGUGGCGACGACGACGGCGGCAACAGCAAGGGGAAAGAGAGAAAGGGAUUAGGGCAUUCUUGGGCAAAAAGAUAGUUUUGCCCCUCGGAAUUUAAGAAAUUUUAAUUCUAUCUUUUUGUUCAAAUUACAAAAAUACCCCUUAGAAUUUAGAAAUUUUCCUACAUGUCCUUGAUUUUAAAAAAAUAUUAAUUAAUUAAAAUUUUUAAUUGAUUAUUAUUUUUAUAAUUAUUUAGUAGUCCUACAUGAUGAUGAUUUAUACAUGUGAUGUAUGAUGUGUGGACGGAUGAUCAUGAACCGUGUGAUGUGUGUAUUUGUGAUUAUUAUUAUUAGGGCCUGCGAGCCUCCAUUAUAUUUCUCGUUUAUUGUCAGGCUUGCGUGCCUAUUAUUAAGUUGUAAUCAUACGAGGAGGCGUAGUGGGAGCGUAGAAGCAAUAGCGGGACCCACAAGACGGACGAUCGCGAUGUAUGGAAAUGCGUCGAGAUGUCGACGGAACCGACGAGGACGAGAUGGACGAUCACAGGGCAUAAAGAUGCACCGUUGCACACAUAGAUCUUGAUGUGAGUGAUUAGGCCUACUGGCUUGGGCCUGAUCACAUUAGGCUGUAGUCCAUGAUCAUUUGGUGUGAUUGCUUUUACACCUACUAGAUAUGUAUAUAUAUUUGCAUGCGAUAUAGAUAUAUAUUAAAUAUGUAUAUGUGUGACAUGUCAUAUUAGGAUUCCAAAUCAUAGAAACCCCUCGCUCGAUAAUAUUAAGUCGGUAAACGUGAGGUAAUUAGAUUUACCUACGUGGCAUUCCAUCGUUAUAGGUAGGGACCAAUUCCCGGUGUAGGUUAAGUUGGUUGAGUGAGUACCUUGAGGCUCACCUAUAUCACGAUUUGCUAUCUUACCUAUGACAUAGAGAUGUCACCGGUGACCUAAGGACAUGAUAUGCUUGGUCGAGUCCCUCGAGACCAUGGUGAUUCGGAGGCCGAAUAGGACGGGAAUCAUAAGGAGUUGUGAUCGACAAGAGUUACCUACCUUUUGGGCUUAGUGUGAUUGGUCGAGUCCCUCGAGGUUAUACUAAGAUGCUGAUUAGAUCCUGAUCCCCACUAGAAGUCUGCCGGAGACAUCCGUUUCAUGUGCUGGGUGCCACAUGACUCACUAGUAAAAUAGUGGGAAAAUAUUAAGAUAGAAGUUCAUAUCUUGAUUAUCUAUUUCUUGAAAAAUCUGUAUGUUAUUCAUUUCUGCUACAUCUUUAUUUUCAGAAAAUGUCACUUUCAAAUCCCUUACGUGGCAUACUUGAUGUCAACCGCCUCACUGGUCCAAAUUAUAUGGAUUGGCUCCGCAACUUGAGAAUUGUUCUCACGGCGGAGAAAAUCGCGUACGUCCUUGCUACAGUGAUGCCUAUGCCCGAGAAAGGGGCAAGCGAGAAUGAGAUCGCUCACUACGUGAAGUACAUUGAUGGCUCCACUCUUGCUCAGUGUUACAUGUUAGGCUUUAUGACUCCUAAGUUACAGAGACAACAUGAAAAGAUGGAUGUCAGAUCCAUUCUCCUACAUGUCCGUAAAUUAUUUGAGGAACAAGGAAGGACUCAGCAAUAUGAGAUAUCCAAUAGCCUCUUCCGCGUUAGGAUGACUGAGGGGACACCAGUUCAGAACUAUAUCCUAAAGAUGAUUAAGUGGAUAGUGAAACUCACAGGUCUAGAAAUGGUCAUAGAGGAUAACUUGUGUGUGGAUCUUAUGCUUCAGUCCCUACCAGAUUCCUUUUUAUAGUUCAUAAUGAAUUUUAAUAUGAAUAAGCUUGACGUGACUCUCCCAGAGCUCCUCAAUAUGUUGAGGGAGGUAGAGAGCACUGUAAAAAAUGAGAAGCCAAUUCUCUACACUAGUGAGAUCAGAAAGAAAAGGAAAAUAAAAAAGUCCUUUAAGAAGGGCAAGGGCAAGGGCAAAGGCAGACUACGUAAAGCAAAUGUUUCUAAGAAAGAUCCGACAAAGGACAAAGGCUAGUGCUUCCAUUGUGGCAAAGAUGGGCAUUGGAAGAGGAACUGCAAAGAGUACCUUGCAGAGAGAGCGAAACAGAAGCUUGGAGAAGCUUCAGAUACAUUAUUGACCAGUCUCCAUUUGUCAGACUCUUAUGAUAACACAUGGGUAUUAGAUAUGCUUAUUAUAUAUGUAAUUCGUUGUAGGUUCUGCCAAGGCCUAGGAGACUGGAGAGAGGCGAGAUAGACCUCAAGAUGGGCAAUGGAGCAAAGGUUGCUGUAGCAGCUGUUGGCGAGGUCGCCCUACAUCUGCCUGGUGGAGCUAUUAUUGCAUUAGAUGCAUAUUGUUUUGUUCUUUCUAUUAUCAAAAAUAUUAUCUCCACUUCAUGUUUGAUAGUGGAUAUAAAUUAGUUUUUGAGAAUAAUGGUUGUUCGAUAUUAUUAGAUGAUAAGAUCAUCACGAAAAGAACAUUGUAUAAUGGUUUGUGUAUGCAAGACACUACUCCACAUAUCAUGAAUGUAAGUGUGUCUAAGAGGAAACUAGAUGAGGUGAACAGUGCAUACAUGUGGUAUUGUAGGCUAGGUCACAUCCAUGAGGGAAGAAUUCAAAAGUUGCUAAAAAAUGGAUAUCUAGAUCCAUUCGACUAUGAGUCAUGUGCAAUUUGCGAGCAUUGCCUUCGUGGAAAGCUGACCAACUCUCCAUUUAGUGGAAAUGGAGAGAGAGAGCCACUGAGCUGUUGGAACUCAUACAUAGUGAUGUAUGUAGACUUAUAUCAACUCGUGCCAUUGGUGGUUAUUCCUACUUCAUUACCUUUACUGAUGAUUUCUCACGGUAUGGAUAUGUGUACUUAAUAAAGUACAAGUCUGAGGCCUUUGAGAAAUUCAAAGAGUAUAAUAAUGAAGUGGAGAACUAGGUUGGAAAGAGUAUCAAGACUCUUCGAUCAAAUCGAGGAGGUGAGUACUUAAGUACAGAGUUUACUUAGUUCCUCAAAGACCAUGAGAUAUUAUCCCAAUGGACACCUUCUUAUACACAUCAGCUCAAUGGUGUGUCUGAAAGGAGAAAUCGUACGUUGUUAGACAUAGAACAGUUCAUGAUGAGUUUCGUUGACCUACCUAUCUCAUUCUGGGGAUAUGCCUUAGAGACCACAGCUUACCUUCUGAACAGAGUUCCAACUAAGUCGGUAGUGUUUACACCAUAUGAGAUAUGGAAAGGGAAGAAGCUCGAUCUUAAGGUUGUUAUGCUUUGGGGCUACCCUGCCAAUAUUAAAAGACACAACCCCGAUAAGUUGGAAUGGAAGACAGAGCGGUGCAAGUUCGUGGGAUACCUCAAGGAAACUUGUGGGUAUUAUUUCUAUCAUCUCGAUGACCAAAAGGUCUUUGUAGUCAAGAGAACAGUGUUCCUUGAGAAGGAACACAUUCUUGGUGGAGAUAGUGGGAGCAUGAUAGAGUUGAGCGAGGUUGGAGAACCUAGCUCAAGAACCACUCUACAGCCCGAGUCUGUUUAAGUACCUAAUACAUAAGUUCCAACUUUACGUAGGUCCAGUAGAGUAUCACAUCCUCCUGAGAGAUAUAUGAGACAUAUUAGAGGAGAGGAUGUUGAGGAUAUUGAUCCACAGACCUACGAGGAGGCUAUUAUGAGUAUAGACUCUAGGAAGUGACAAGAAGCCAUUAAUUUUGAGAUGGAUUCUAUGUACUCCAACAAGGUUUGAAACCUAGUUGAUGCGCCCGAAGGUAUUGUACCUAUCGGUUGCAAGUUGAUCUUUAAAAACAAGAUCGAAGUAGAUGGAAAGGUAAAGACCUAUAAAGCAAGGCUAGUGGCUAAGGGGUAUAGUCAAAGGUAAGGUGUUGACUAUGACUAAACCUUCUCACCCGUAGUAAUGCUAAAAUCCAUCCGAUUUCUAUUGGCUAUUGCAGUACACUAUGAAUUGAGAUCUGACAGAUGGAUGUGAAAACUGUAUUCCUCAAUGGGAACCUCGAGGAGGAGGUGUAUAUGAUACAACCCGAGGGAUUUGUGUCCAAGGAUUGCCCAGAUGAUGUGUGCAUGUUGCUUAGAUUCAUUUAUGGACUAAAGCAAGCUUCCCGAAGUUGGAACAUAAGAUUUGAUGAGGCAAUCAGAUCUUAUGAUUUUGUUAAGAACGAAGAUGAGCCUUGUGUGUACAGGAAGGUAAGUAGGAGUGCUAUCACCUUUUUGGUGUUAUAUGUGGAUGAUAUCCUGAUCAUUGGGAAUGAUGUAGGAAUGCUAUCCACAGUAAAUGCUUGGUUAUCUAGACACUUCUCCAUGAAGGACUUAAGGGAAGCAUCCUAUAUAUUGGGGUUUCGGAUCUAUAGAGAUAGAUCCAAGAGGAUGCUUGGCUUGUCCCAGUCUAGGUACAUAGAAACCAUUGUCAAAAAGUUUAGCAUGAAAAAUUCCAAGAGAGGUCUCAUACCGAUGAGACAUGUGAUAUCGCUUUCUAGGAGUAUGUCCCCAAAGACUCCAGAAGAAAGGGCGAACAUAGAUAUGAUACCUUAUGCCUCAGCGAUAGAGUCUAUCAUAUAUGUCAUGCUAUGUACUAGGCCUGAUAUAGCGUAUGCUCUAAGUGUCAUGAGUAAGUAUCAAGCGAAUCCAAGCUUGGAGUACUAGAAAGCAGUAAAGUGUAUCCUUAAGUACUUGAGAAGGACUAAGGAUCUUUUAUUAAUAUAUGAAGGUAGUAGCCUCAAGGUUGAAGGCUAUACAGACUCAAGUUUUCAGUCUGAUAUCGAUGAUAGCAAGUCGAAUUCGGGGUAUGUAUACACCUUGAAUGGAGGAGUAGUAUGCUGGAAGAGUUCCAAGCAAGAUACUACUAUUGUCUCGACCAUAGAGGCAGAGUACAUUGCUGUAGCAGAGGCAGCAAAGGAGGGAGUCUGGAUGAAGAAGUUCAUCAUAGAUUUAGGAGUCAGGCCAACUAGCGAGGAGCUGAUUCCUUAUAUUACGAUAAAUACAGGGCGAUUACUCAAAUAAGGGAACUCGAGUCUCAUCAGAAGUGUUUUGAGGAGGUUCCAUCUUAUUAAAGAAAUCAUGGCUUUAUGAGAUGUAAUAGUAGAAAGAGUUCAAUCCGAAGAUAACAUUACAGAUCCAUUGACAAAGCCAUUGUCUUUGAGCGUCACAUAGGUUUGAUGGGGAUCAAACACAUAGGUGAUUGGCUUUAGGUCAAGUGAAAGAUUGCUAAUCAUAUGUGCCCAGCAAGCCAAUCACGUGAGUGAUGACACAUGUGACUUGACACAGAAUAUUUUUGCUUAUUAUAUUUUGGCAUUUAUCACUUUAUAUUAACUAUUACAUAUAUGCAUGUAUAUAUUAUGAUGUCCUUAGAUUUGUGCAAUGAGAAUCGGAUUAUGAUGAGAUCAAGAUAAUGAGACCGAUUCACCUUUAAACACAGAUCCUAAAUAAUUUCGGUCAUAGGUUACUCAAAAGGGACAUCGAGAUAAUCAGACAGACUAGUGUGCUGUAUACCCGUUUAUAUGAUUGAUGUAGCUGGUCUCAUAGCUGCUCAUGUGGGGACACUAGGGAUACAGUAUAGGUGCUCAUUGGAGAAUGAGUUCACUGAUUGAUUCGUUUAUGGAAUGCUGGAUGGUUGAUAAUGUCUUAUUGUCAGAAAAUGAUUUCGUAGUCCAAGUGAUGUAUCUAGUCCUUAGACUUGAGACACCAAGGAUAUCCUGUAUGAGUGCUAUAUUCUUUGAUAUCAGCCUUAUAGGUUUGAAUAUCCAAAAUCUAGUACAGUCGGUCAUUGGGAGUGACAGUCAACCUUACGAGGGCUAUUGAGCGUCGAUAGAGGAUCAUCCACUCUCGGCAUCAUGAGAGGAAUAUCCCAUGUGUUCUUACUCAUACAAAUCCCUAACCAGGGUCAUUUCGGAUUGAGAGAGAAAGAGUUCUCCGAUAAUGAGACUAUUACAUAUAUGCAUGUAUAUAUUGUGAUAUACUUAGAUCUGUGUAGUGGGAAUUGGAUCGUGAUGAGAUCACGAUAAUGAGACCGAUUCACCUUUAAACACAGAUCCUAAAUAAUCCCGGUCAUAGGUUACUCAAAAGGGACAUCAAGAUAAUCGGACAGACUGGUGUGCUGUAUACCCGUUCAUAUAAUGGAUGCAGCUGGUCUCAUAGCUGCCCGUGUGGGGAUACUAUGGAUACAGUACAGGUGCUCAUUGGAGAAUGAGUUCACUGAUUGAUCCGUUUACGAAAUAUUGGAUGGUUGAUGAUGUCUUAUUAUUAGACAAUAAUUUCAUAGUCCAAGUGGUAUAUCUAGUCCUUAGACUUGAGAUACCAAGGAUGUCUUGUAUGAGUGCUCCAUUCUUUGAUAUCGGACUUAUAGGUUUGAAUGUCCCGGAUCUAGUACAAUCGAUCAUUAAGAGUGACAGUCGACCUUACGAGAGCUAUUGAGUAUCGAUAGAGGAUCAUCCACUUUCGGUGUCAUGAGAGAAAUAUCCUAUGUGUUCUUGCUCAGACAAAUCUCUAGCUAGGGUCAUUUCGGAUUGAGAGAGAAAGAGUUCUCCGGGAGAAUCCGAUUAGAGCGAGACUCGAGUAGAAACCAUAUGGGUCUGACAACACCAUACCUGGUAUACGGUCUUUGGGAUAUUAGAUGGAUGAGGGACUAUAGGUACACGGUAACUGAGGACAGACAAGUCCAAUGAUUGGAUUCCCCUGUAUUAUCUGGGGACUACGGCGUAGUGGCCUAGUACGUCCGUAGUCGAUGAGUCGAGUGAAUUAUUAUGGCGAUAAUAAUUCACUGAGUUAGAAGGAAUUCUGACAGGUAUGACUCACGGUUAGCUCGAUAUUGGGCCUAGAGGGUCACACACAUAUGGUAGGCAUUGCGAUGAGUAGAGGUUCGAAUAUGAAACAUCCGCCGGAGCCCCUAACUUAUUGGAUAUUCAAUAAGCCCAUGAAUUAUUGGAUCCUAUUGAUGAGAUCCAAUAAGAGCCCAUAAGAGAUUAUUAGAUAAAGAUCCACUAAUCUAAGAGGCUUGGGUAGUUGGAUGCAAAUCCAAUACCCAAUAGGGGAGGAUCCAUUAGGGUUUGAUAGGGGACCUCUAUAAAUAGGAGGGAUUCAGUGGUUCAUAGGCUAGAGCUUUUGUUUGCCUCUCCUAUUCUCCUUACCCUCUCCACCUCAGAGUAGGCUUGGAGUUUUGAGGAGCGUCGUCACAGCCCUGCUGUGUAGAUCAUCACUAGAGAGGAGGAUGCUUGACCUCCUUUACCCUCUCCUAGAGAUCUACAAGGAUUCAAGGAUAUACGAUCUCCCUAUGUAACACAAUUUAUCUUGUACCUAGUUUUAAGUUUCAUGAAUUUUUACACACCAAUCUUCGCACGACGACGAACACAACUUUAGGAAUUUGGGAAUUUUGUUUUCUGUUCUUCCGCUACGCAUAUGAUGUCGCCCCCAAGAUUUCCCAACAGAAAUGGUUUGUAGGACCAAGGUCAUUACUCUAAAGCUUCGAAUAGAAACUGACAUAUUCAUUCUUCAAUAACUCGGGUGGAUAGACAUACAUAUUAGUAGAUCUCAUAGACUAGAUCAUGUUAUAACACCUAUGAGAUAUAAUUUAGAUUAUGAUAGAAUUUUGAGGUAUCAAGCGACUCAAAAGUGUUAAUCUCGUUGAUAGUAUUAUAGUAUAUUUUCUCGAUGUUCUAAUACUCUUAAGGAGCUGAGAUUUUUAAUGGGGUAAAAUACCCUUAAGGGAGCUGAGAUUUUUAAUGGGGUAAAAUACCUUUAAGGGAGCUGAGAUAUUUAGAGAUAGAGAUUAGAAGAAGUAUCAUAUAAAAUAUUCUAUUGAAAACUCACAAGGUCCUUGACCUUAGGAUAAUAAUUCCGAAAAUUUUGGUAAUGAAAAAACUUUCUUCGAGCAUGAGAAUUUGUAGAAAUUUUGAUCUUAAGAGGGCAAUGGUCAAAAUAUCCCCAAGGUAAAUGAAACACUUUAGAUCUACCAUAUAAGUUGAGCCAGCUAGUACUAGUAAUAGUAAUAGCUCUAUCGAAUCUCACCAGAAUCUUAGCUUGCCCCUUACUUUUAUUAGUCCAAGUAGGGGGAGUGCAGAAAAUCUCAAGUCAUUAAAUCCAAUCAAAUGAAACAUGUAUCAAAAAACAUGAACUGAAAUCGAAAUAGCAAAAUUACUACCACCUUUCUUAUUCUCUUUAUUAAUAAUAUGAUUAAAAUCUCCAAUUAGACACCACGGAAUAUCGCUAAAAUCCAAAGAAGCUAAAGCAAUCCAAAGGGCAUUUCCAGUAGAGACAUUGUUAUUUGCAUAAAUUACUAUUAAUAAUCAAGAUUUAGAAUGAAAUUCUUGAACUACAACAUAAAUGCAUUGAUCAUGGAAUGAGAUAAUAUGUAUUUGGAUUAGAGUAAUGUCUAGUCGCUUACCUUAUUGACGAAAGUCAUUAAAGCGCAGUUCGCCACCUUGCCCUUGUUGGUUUGCUCUUCAUCUUCGGAUGAGCUAGAUUCGUCCUAAGCCGCCUUGAAUGUUUUUUUUCUUUUUGUGGUAUCUUCUUUUUAAGUUAUUUUUUUUUUCUUUGAUUCUUGUUUUAAAAAUUUUUUAAGCGUUGUAGUCAAGAGUUCAAAGUCAUCAUCACUUGAGCUUUCGCUCAAGUGGUCUUCAUUUGUUCUAAGUGUCAAAUCCUUUCUGGUUUUUGGAAGAUUGUUCUCAAGCUCUUCAUGAGCGUUGCAAGUCAUCUCACAUGUCAUUAAUGACCCGAUAAAUUCUUCAAGAGAAAAAUUAUUCAAAUCCUUGGCCUCUUGAAUGACUGUUACUUUAGGGUCCAAAUUCUUUGGAAAUGAUCUCAAUAUUUUAUUAAUGAGUUCAAAAUUCGAAAAAUAUUUGCCAAGUGCUUUUAGACUAUUGACAACAUCCGUAAAACGGGUAUACAUGUUCUAAUAGUCUCGCUUGAUUCCAUUCGAAACAACUCAAAAUCAUAUAUCAAAAUAUUAACUUUAGAAUCUUUAACCCUACUUGUGCCUUCGUGUGUGAUUUCUAGAGUAUGUCAAAUAUCAAAAGUCAUUUUGCAAGUAGAAACCCGAUUGAAUUCAUUUUUGUCUAAGGCACAAAAUAAAGCAUUCAUAGCUCUAGCAUUUUAAAAAAAAAUUCUCUAAAUCAUUCCAUUCGUUUAUUAGAGUAGAAGACUUUUGAAAAUCGCUUUCGACAAUGUUCCAUAAAUCCAAAUCCAUAGAAAGCAAGAAAACUCUCAUUUGAGUUUUCCAAUAAAUGUAAUCCAUCCCAUUAAACAUGGGAGGACAAACGAUAUAGAAGCCCUCUUGAAAGUCGAAAAAAGUCAUUUCUCUUGGGUGUUAAACCAAAUAAGAAAAACGUGGCUCUGAUACCAAAUGUUAGGAUAAAAAUAUCAUCGAUUCAAAAAUCUUCGUUUCGAUUAAACCCGUUCUAGAAAGAUAUUAAACUUGAAAGUAUUCGUAAGAGUGUAAUGAGAAAGUAAAACAAGUAAAGAAGUUUGCAGUAAGGUAAAUUGCACAAAUAGAAAUGCAAACUAGAUUUUUAUAGUGGUUUAGUCAUCGUGACUUACAUCCACUCCGUCGAUUCCUCUUCCGUCAAGGCUACUAACAUCCACUAACGAUCUUCCUUCAAUAAGCGAUGAUCAACUACCCUUUUACACUCUUUCUCCUUUUCACGGGUUUAGGAGACAACCCUUACAACCUCUCUUUCUUAGACCUCACUUCUCCCUUUAGAAGAACUUUCUAAAUACUAGGAAGGGACUCUAAAUCCUAAGAGAGUUUCUAAUUUUUCUUUAUCCCUUUUUCAACUUAAUUUUGUGCUCAAUUCUUGCUACUCCACGUAGGGCCACCGCUGGUAGGGUGGUGACGGCGGUAGCAAGCAAGAGAAGGGUAGGGUUCUUGGGCAAAAAAAAUUAAUUUUGCCCUUGUGAAUUUGAGAAAUUCUAGAUUUGCCACUUCUAUCUAAAUUACCAAAAUACCCUUUACAAUUCUAAAAAUUUCCUACAUGUCCCGAUUUUAAAAAUAUUAGUUAAUUAAAAAUUUUAAUUAUUACUAUUAUUAUUAUUAUUAUUAUUAUUAUUAUUAUUAUUAUUAUCUAGUAGUCCUACACGAUAAUGAUGAAUACAUAUGAUGUAUGAUGUGGAUAAAUGAUCGUGGACCAUAUAAUAUAUGUGUAUAUGUGAUUAUUAUUAUUAUUAUUAUUGGGGUCUGCGAGCCUCUAAUAUAUUUCUCAUUUAUUGUCGGGCCUGCGUACCUGUGAUUAAGUUAUAAUUACACGAGGAGGCGCAUCGGGAGCGUGGAAGCGAUAAUGGGACCCACGAGGCCGAGAUGAACGAUCAUGACGCAUGGAAAUGCGUCGAGAUGCCGACGGAACCGACGAUGAUGAGAUGGACGAUCAUAGGGCAUGGAGAUGUGCCACCGCACAUAUAGAUCUUGAUGUGAAUGAUUAGGUCCACUAGCUCGGGCCUAAUCACAUUAGGAUGUGGUUCAUGAUUAUCUGGUGUGAUUACUAAUUUGAUGUGUGAUUAUUUAUACAUCUACUAGAUAUAUAUAUUUACAUGCGAUGUAGAAAUAUAUUAAAUAUGUAUAUAUGUGACACAUCAUAUUAUGAGACCAAAUCAAAAAUCUCCUCUCUUUAUAAUAUUAAGUUAGUAAACGUGUGAUAAUCAGAUUGACUCAUGUGGCCUUUCCAUCGUUAUAGGUAGGAACCAAUUCCCGACGUAAGUUGAGUUGGUCGAGUCAUUCUAGGCUCAUCUAUUUCGCGAUUUGCUAUCUUACCUACGAUAUAAAGAUGUCACCGAUGACCUAAGGACAUGUUAUACUUGGUCGAGUCACUCGAGGGCAUAUUGUCGAAUCAGAUUCAUCUUGUAACGAUGGUGAUGACUUAACCGAACACGAUGGUUGGUCGAGUCACUCGAGGCAAUGAUGAUUCGGAGGUCAAACAGGAUGGGAAUCACAAGGAGUUAUGAUUGGCAAGAGUUGCCUACCUUUACGGGCUUAGCGUAAUUGGUCGAGUCACUCGAGGUUACGUUAAGACGUUGAUUGAAUCCCGAUUCCCACUUAAGAUCUAUCGGGGGUCUCCGAUUCAUAUACCGGAGAGAGUUGUAUGAUUUGUGAGAAAAUUAUGGGAGUAUAUUAAGAUAGAAGUCCUUAUCUUAAUUGUUUAUUUUUUUACAAAAUCUACAUAUUAUUUAUUUCUAUUAUAUCUUUAUUUUCAUAAAUAUGUCACAUUUGAUGUCAACCGUUCUAACUCAGAGUGCUGCAUAACUCUGAACUGUGGAUUUCCUGCACUGCACACCACAGAGCUGAAGAACCUAAAGAACUGAGAGACAGACUGAUACGUUGCUCGAUUCAUUGCGUAGUUGAAGCAAGUAGGGAUUGUACUGGAGAUCUCAGUGGAUUUUAUUUAUAAACCGGGCCUUAAGAUCUAUAAAACUAUGUUAUGAUUUAUUCUUGUGACAUCCGUUCUACAAGUAUAAGUUGAUGCUAAGAAUGGCCACAAUCCAAAGGAAAAGAUUUCUUUUGGAGAAUUGAAUUCAUUUUACUCAUUAUAUCAACCUUUGUUUUUCUGAUACAUGCUGCAACAUGAAAAGGCUUCAAUCUCAUAUUGUUCUUUUCAGUUCACAUAGCCACAAAACAUGAAGUGGUUGGAGGACAGUUCCAGGAAAAAGAACAGUUUCUGCAAUCUUUCUGAAACUUACUGAUGUCUUGCAAGAGAAAACAAGAUAGUAGAUGAUGCUAGCAAGAACAAAAUAAUCUCAUUAGCUUCCGUCAAUAAAUGAGUACCAAUUGCUGGAAGAACAAAAAAUUCUUACCCAUAUGAACAAGAUCUGAGAGGAAGUCAAAGAUCCACCUAUCUUAGUCAAACUUCCCUGACAAAGUCUAUCUAGUUCGUCAAACUUCUCAUGUUUGCUGACUCCAUGAGAGGCUUCUGCUUGCAUAGCCACACACCUCUCAUGGUGGCUUGACUUGCUUCACCUGGUUAGUCAGGCUGGCCAAUGGUUUAGGUGGCCUGCAUCAUCCACCACCUUACCAUGGAUAUUUUUUUUGUUUGCCAAAAAGUAUAUAUAUAUAUAUAUAUAUAUAUAACUAAANNNNNNNNNNNNNNNNNNNNNNNNNNNNNNNNNNNNNNNNNNNNNNNNNNNNNNNNNNNNNNNNNNNNNNNNNNNNNNNNNNNNNNNNNNNNNNNNNNNNNNNNNNNNNNNNNNNNNNNNNNNNNNNNNNNNNNNNNNNNNNNNNNNNNNNNNNNNNNNNNNNNNNNNNNNNNNNNNNNNNNNNNNNNNNNNNNNNNNNNNNNNNNNNNNNNNNNNNNNNNNNNNNNNNNNNNNNNNNNNNNNNNNNNNNNNNNNNNNNNNNNNNNNNNNNNNNNNNNNNNNNNNNNUCAAAAGUAAUAUAUAUAUAUAUAUAUAUAUAUACUAAACAAUCUUUUGAAAAAUCAAACAUCUCAUCAUCGUUGAAAAAGAUGAGAAUAUGAUGAAGUCAAUGAUAGUGUAUUAAAAACAUAAAAUAAAUAUAGAUAUGAUCCAAUUAGACCAAUAUUUGAGGGAAACGCUCAUCUCUUGCAUCGUCAUCACCUCCAUGUGAGAGAUUCAAAAUCUAGCACAUUAAUCCUUAAAAUUCAAGGAAUAAUUCAAUUACAAUUGAUCAGAUUAUUAGGUGAAAUCCAGAGUUUAUUUCAAGGAAUAAUUUCAACAAAUAUGGCAUGUUUUUUUUUCCCUUUUUCGGAGAAUGAAAUGCACAAUUUAUUUGCACGUCAGAAUAUGUACAGAAGGCACAAGCGGAAAUCUAAAGCGACUCUUCUCACAGUCUCACUUCUCUUCAUCUUCUUCUUCUUCUUGCACUCGACUUCACUCCUCCUCCGUUUACCUAGGCUGCUGUAUCGUCCUCGGGCUCAGCUUCACGCUCACCACCUUGGCCGCCUUCUCCGCGUACUUGGCUCCCUCCGCCGCCCAACCCCUCGACGCCUUCCACUUCUCCGCUCCCCAUGUGAUCAACUCUCUGUUCCUUCCUCCGCCCUCCUCCUCCUCGGCUUCCUUUUCUGUUCCAACAAAGACGAGAUCAACGCGAUGGAUCGAGGAGGAGAGAGAGAUGCGAGAUGAGGGCUUACGGUGAGGAGCGGACAAGGAGAAGAGGGCGUCGUUGAUGUCGUCGGGCAGCUCGGGGUCGUCGUCCUCGAAGAAGUCGAGCACGGACUCGUGGAAGCACUCCCGCAGCCAGUAGUCGGCGAACCAGGGGGACGAAUGCACCAGAUCCCACCACUCCGACGAGAAGUCCUCCACCGCGCGCUGCGCCGCCGGCACGUACGGGGCCGCGUCCGGGUUCAGCCCCGACCUCGUCCUCCUCGCCAUCACCUCCAUUACUUCGAGCACUGCUUAUCCUCCCCUCUCUCUCUCUUUCGAUAUCCGAUGGUUGACGAAUGGAUAAGAUAGAGAGGAAUCCAUAUAUAUAAAAACGUUUCAACGAAUGAGCCCCUCGAGUUGGAUCAAAAUAUCGGUAAUACCAGACCGCCCACAGGAUAUUUCUAUUACCGCGGACACGAGAUGCUGACCGUGUGAUCUGAAAUGGACGGUGACGAUAGAGGUUGGAGCGGAAGUCCCAUCGUUUCUCCUUUUCGCAUUCAACUGUCACCCACAGUUGUCCACCUCCUUUCGUUAUCAAAUGGGGCCCACGCCUUCUCCAAUCAAGCGUUGCUAUAAACCGUAGACUCUCGGGACCAGGAAACGGUGGACGGCCGCGUGGUGGGUUGGGACCAUUUGGAAGACGUGCGAUACUUUUAGAAACAACAAUUACGUUUUCUCCCGGUUUACGGUUUACGCUCACUUUCCUGGCUGAGCUCGUUUGGGACCCACAGGUGUACAACAAUAUUUCUGAACAAUGAUCGAGCAGGUAUACAUUGGGUAGAGAGGAUCGCGUGGAAAAGCGUAAUCAUUGAGAAAAUAAAAAGAAAGAAGGCGUGCCACGAGGAAAGGAAAAAGUGCGCCAGUCGAUCGCUUACACGUCAAUGGUUUUAUCCGAUCUGUUUGUUUACGAUAGCUUUGGAUAGAUACUAUCUUCUUGUCGGGGUUUGCAUCGGCACGGACACAGAAAGACCAGACGGCGGUGAGCGGAACUUAGCCGGGUCUGAAGACCGGUUCGCUUAGCUUACCACUCACCUGGGCAAAGAGGCUCAAGGCUUUUUUUGGAACGAAGUUGCCACAUUCUCGGGUGCGCGGUGUGCUGAACCUCCGAUUUACUCCCGCCGUUGGCUUUUUUGAUCGCAGCGGUAGAAAUGCAUCCCAGCCGUUCAUCUUUACGGAUCCAGAUCACUUAUUCUACUCGAAUCCAAGAUCAGACGCGGAUUCUACUUUUUAAAAUAUAAACCCGAUUAAGACAAAUCCGAGCCAGUAAGGAGCAUGCAAAUGGGAGUAGGAAAAGAAGGGUAAGGUGGAGGAGACCUCCUCUGUAAUAAAGACGACCUGGUUCCGAUAAAGUUGCAGAGUCCAUGGCCUUAGGUCAAAGUGGACCGCAGUUGCCGCUGCUCCAACGCUCUCUGCCUCCUCUCGAGAGGCGAGAAAGCGGCAAACAAAAGCUUAGACUCCACCAUCUCUCAGAACCCAUGACAAUGUAAUGAGAGUGGAGAGAGAGUUUGAUGCUGUCUAUGUUUAUCUGCGGUUGAGAUUAUAAUGUGCUUGAGGGAGUAUUCGUUCUUGCUUUGUAACACCAAUUAAGUCACAGAUCAUCACUCUACUUAUUUCAUGGAUGUGAAGUCAUUGACUGCGGUAGAUUGUAAUAGAACAACAUGGAAAGAGCAAAAGCAAGUGAACCAAAAGCGUUUCUAGGAAGAAGACAACUGCAGGCACUAAGUACAUGGUUUGCGGACGAAGUAUCUGUAAGCAGCCACCUUCCUCCUCCUGGAGUUGGUGUUGUCUAUGGAGAGCACCAUCUUCCCCACCUCCCUGGCGGUGUACACGUUGUGGAUCGGCUCGUCCGCCGUCGCCGGGACCCUUCUGGUCUUCUCCACGAUGAUCGUGUAGCUUCCGCCGUCGCUCGGCACGUACUCGGCGCCGUAGUCCACGUCCCAUCCUCCCACCGCUAUGUCCCAUGUGAUGCUUGCCCCUCCCUGCUCCACAAUGCAGUGGUCAUUACUCGUUGCUCAGUGUCCAAGGCGGUGUCGCCGCUUCAGGAUAAGCUUACCUCAAUGCCGUCGAUCUCAAGGUUCACUCUUUCUCCGCCCUUGAUGGUGAACUCGGUGGCGGGCUUGGGCGGGCCAUUCUGUAGGUCCCCUGGCCGGCUCAGCCCUCCGUACUGCACCGGCACGAACUCCGGCCUGAUGAAUCUGCAACAUCUUAAUAGAUUUAAAGGCUCUGUGGAAGUAGUUGGGGGGGGGGGGGAGAGAGAGAGAGAGAGGUAGUNNNNNNNNNNNNNNNNNNNNGGGGGGGGGGGGGGAGAGAGAGAGAGAGAGAGGUUAUCGUGGACUACUUGUAAAGGGUCUCGGCCACAUUGCUUUCUCUGGCGAUCACGAACUUGCUCUUUGUCCUCUCCGUCAGAAAUGGACUAAUCAUGGCGUACAACAGAGUGAAAUACCAGGGCACGUUGAUGAACACCUGCGGUUGAUGUUAGCAGAGAGAAGAGGAGGUGACGUCGUGAUGAGGAGAGCUUGACGUUUACAGACCUUUCUUGCGACCAUCUCAGGGUAGUUGUCCUGGAAGAGGGAGAGGAUGUGCUGCGAGGCGGCCCGGAGCUCGCGCUUGGGCAUGUCCUUGAGGUCGGUGACCUGGAUGAUGGAGUUGAUGCCGCCAGGGCGGAGUUGGAGCAAGCGGACGCCGCGCUCCAUCACCUGGACGCGCCACCGGAGGAAGUGAUGUAGCUUGUCGGCGUCGCCCAGCACGCGGUCGUACACGUCCUUGUCCUUGAAGACGCCGCAGGCGUUGUAGCACACGGGGUGGCCCCACCGGUCCCAGCCGUGCAUGUACGCCACAACGCCCUCCAGCUCCUUGAACCCCACCAGCUCCUCCUCCGCCACCUCGUCGGCGCCGAACUCGCGCCGCCACUCCACGCAGCGCAGCAGCAUGGCGUGCGCCUGCCCCGCGUCGAAGUCGCGCGCUCUCAGAAACUUGAGGAGGACGACGACCGCCCGCUCGUCGCCGGCGGCGGCGGAGGAGGGGGCGAGAGGCACGCCCCAGAUGGAGAUGGGCUUGGGGGAGACAGCGAGGAGUUGCUGCAGCUCCUGGAGGGCCUUCAGCUCGGCGAGCUUGAGGCUGGAGAGGAGGUAGCAGUCCUCCUUGAACGAAGGGGAGACGUGGAGCGCGGUGGGGGCUGCCGUGGCGCCGGCUGUGGCUUCCAUGAGGGAGCUCAGCAGGCUUCUCUUGGUGGCAGGAUUGGGAGAAGGGACGGGCUCAGUGGUUGCUUGGGAUGACUCCAUUGCUAAAGUUGAGCUGAGAGAAGGAAGAGAGCUCAAGCUCGUCGUCUUGCUCGAUCCUCUUGUUUGCUUGGGUUCCACUACAGCUCAGCUCCUGUUACUACCAUUACUAGUGGUGUUGCAGAGAGAGAGAGAGAGAGAGAGAGAGAGAGAAGAUGGGGAGGGAAGCUAAAUUGAAUUGAAUUGAAUUGACUUGAAAUGAAUGGGAGCGGUGGAAGGAAGGGGAGGUGGAAUUAUGGUGAUGGCGUGAAGGGGGAGUCCUUCACUUGAGCUUUUAUGACCAUUUGGAGCAGAUGGGGAGAGGAAUGCAUGGCGGAUCCGUGAAUGCUUUCUUCUUUGAUUUGUGGGAUUCUCUUUUUUUGCCCUCUUUAUCUGCACAUUGCUUAAACUAUUCUGCUUCUUUGGUUGCAUCGAAAGUGCUUUAAAGAAGAACUUUAAGAUUGGAUACGGAAGGCUGAUGUUACAUUUGCUCGACAAAAGAUCCAAAUGCCAAAUGUGAAACUGCGUUUAAGGAAUCGUUUCUUCCACCUCCAAAAUGGUGGGGUGUGACGAAAAAUAUUUACAUGUGAUGAUCGAGUGGAAAGAAUAAAAAAUAAUAAUAAAAUUCUCAUAUUAGUUUGGAAUGAGAGAGUCGAUCGAUAUAUAUUGUGCUUAGGAAUUAGAUGAUAUUGGGUGCAGCCAAACGACAACUCUAUGAAUAAAGAGUAUAAGAGCAACUAAUACAUAAAUAUAAAGAUAUUUUAUCUAUAAGAUUUAUGUAUAAGAUAAAAAAGAGUCGAGCAUCAUACAUUGAGUUUGACUCAUAUCCUAAACGAUUUAAGAUUUUAUAUUGCGUUUGUGUCUAGUUUCAUGUAUGUUAAGAUUUGAUCGGUCUGAGUGAGACUCGACUGAUCUUAGAAUAAUAACAAAAUUAUUAUUAUUAUUAUUAUUUUUAUAUAUGAGAAACUAAAGUCUAAGAUAAGAAGGUUAAGUGAGAGAAAACCCAAUGCAAUCCAAUCCACCAUGACCAGUAAGCUAAACCUGUGUGUGGAGACAAAGGUAGAAGCAGGGAGAAGAUGGAGGAGGAAGAGGAGCUGCCGCUGCAGCUGGAGAAGGGUUCGUCCCAGCAUCCGAAGGCACCGCUCUCUUUGAGGUCUUCACCUACCGACAACAAACCGUCGCCCGGAGAUUGGGUGCUUCAAUUCCAAACCAACAAAGACCAGAAUAUUAGAUCAUGGUCGGCUUUUCUUCUUCAUCGUAUCAACACUGAAAAGAAAAUGUUUAUUGUAUAACACUAAAAAAAAACCAUUAUAAUAUUCUUUACAUAUAUAUAUAUAUAUAUAAUAAAUAAUAGUAAUUGUUGUUUUAUAUUCCCACAUCAAUGGCAACGCAAUAGGAGGGAUUGCAAUCAAGAUGAAGUUCAACAGAAGAUGAUCUGAGAGCAUUAAACCAAGCAACCACUGCAUCAUCAGCCGAGGGAUGUCUUCUUCCGUGUAAACACCGCACAGAGAACAAUGUCGGAUGUCCAUUUCCAUUAUUCUCUAGCUGUGGCAGCUCUUGUGACCAUCUAAUCCUAAGGGAAGCAGACUGCGACACGACGAUAACUCUGCCAAUCGAUGGAUCUUUUGAGCUCAAAAACAAGUUCACAAAAGCCUUUUACAGCUCUGCAUUCCACUUGCUACUUUCACCAUCCAAAGUAUUAUUUCUUUCCCCCUUACUUUGAUACCGUGUACAUAAAAAGCAGUGUCAAGUGGUGUGCUAAGUACGGUGUAGUAUUAUUGUACGCUGACUUGUUCUUUCUCCAUUGUGAAGGAAGGAUUCGAAUCAGGAGACCUUUGACCGUACAAAUCCAGUUAAGAAAACUUGCUUUAGAUUUGAUAUUUGUUCUUGGAAGGAAACAAAACAGAUAUGGUUGAGUUUGGAAGACAGCAACGAGGAAAAUAAAGGAGCUUGGAUUAGAUGAUGGUAUUUAAUUAAUGGAAGGAGGAGGUUGUGCAAGAUUUGUAUAUUCUUUUUAUUUAUUUUUUUAUUCAAAUAUUCAAGUAUUGCAAUUCCACAGAACAAAACAAAAAAUAAAAUCAUAGAUGAAUAUUCUCUAAUAAUGUGUUGUAUGGAAUGCUAUCACUAAAUGGGUAUCAUUAUCCGACACAUGUCUCUACCACCCGCUUGUGCUUCUUUCUUGAUAUAUUCAUUAAUUUAAUUGCGUGAAUUAUUUUGCUGACAUAUAAAUGCAUCACAACAGAUUAAUGGGUAUCAUCCCUCCUUACAUGCAGUGAACCAAACCGAAGAAGAAGAAGAAGAACGCCAUACGACUACUGCAUAUUACAGAGACGAGGAGAGGGUGAAGCCGUGGAGAGGGAUCAGCACAGAGGAAGGUCCGCGGGAGGCGGCAACAGAGACUGCAGCUCGCCGACGCCGUUCUCCACCAGGAAGGCCAUGGCCAAGCCCCAGGUGAUGUGCACGUCCAGGUGGCAGUGCACUAGCCACACCCCUGGGUUGUCCGCCACGAACCGGAUCACUGCCCACCCGUUCACCGGCACCCCCACCGUGUUCCGCAGCGGCGGGUCCACCAGAUUGAACCUCGCCGAGUCCCUCGCCGGGUCGAAGUUCCCGAACCCCGUCGCCAGCACGUAGAAGUGGUACCCGUGGAUGUGCAUCGGGUGUUCCUCCCCCGCGAAGAUGUUGGUGCCCUGCAGCACCAGCUGCACCACCGACCCGUACUUGAGCGGGUACAACUUCGUCCCCAGCACCGGCUGCCACAGCCCCCGGCUGACGUUGGCCGCAGUGUAGUCGAAGGGGACCGGCGGAACCGCCGGGAAGUCGGUGGUGAACACCCCGGGCACGCCCAGGUGGUGGGCUUGGAGGAGGGAGAGACCGGUGGGCAGCUGGAAGGAGACGUUGUUCAUGCUGGCGCCGAAGCGAGUACCGUUCGGGCCGCCGCAACGCCGGCCAGGCGGGCAGUUGAACAGGCCCAGCCCGACGGUGAAGAAGAGGUGGUGAUCGACGGGGCCGGGGAUCUGGACGGGGUAGGGGCUCCUGAUUCCGGCGGCGAAGGCGGUGGCGGUGGGCGUGUCGUUGAAGUCCGGGAGGACAGGGAACGGCGGCGGGAGCCCCGGGCCGUUCUUGGUGGGGCAGCCGCUGUUCUUAUACUCGAGGACGGCGGUGGUGGUGGUGUUGUCGAAGGCGACGCCUCGGGCGCUGGCGUAGGCGUGGGCGGCCAUGUAGUAGCGGCCGGGGGGCUGGUUGGUGGUGACGAAGACGUCGGUUGUCUGCCCCGGGCCCAGCAUGAGGACCGCGGUGGUGAAGGGCUUGGUGUAGGCGGCGUCGGCGGCCACGACCGUCAUCAUGUGGCCGGCGAUGCUGACGAAGAGCUCGUUGUUGAGGGCGGCGUUGAUGAACCGUAGUAGGUUGGUCUCACCCAACGCCACUGGGAAGACCGUUGUAUCUUUGUUGGAGCAGUUGUAAAGAUCGCCGGGCUGGCCAUUGAUGGUGAAGGCGUCAGAGACGUUUGGGGCUGCUCCGGUCCUCGUCGCCCGCCGGACUACGCUGAUGGGGUCCUCAUUCCACCACUCCCCUGUUCCAACGCCAUAUCGUCAUUCAAAUCUAUGCAUACAUGUGUAUAAGAUUUGGAAGGGAAAUUAGUACCGAGGAUGACGGGGAAUUCUCGGUGGGGUUUGGGGAAUGGGUAGGAGGAGGCAUCUCGGGGAUAGAUGAUGAGGGCGCCAUGGACGGUGGCCCUGAGCCAGGAGCUGUGUGCGUGCCACCACAGCGUGCCUUCUUGGUCCUCGAUGGUGAACCGGUACGUGUAGCUGCCGCCGGGCCUUAUGGGGCACUGCGUCACGAACUCCGGCCCGUCCGCCCACGCCGUUCGCAUCUGUCGAACCCCGUGCCUGUCAACACGCAUCACUCGGAUCUCGUUAAUCUGCGUCCAUGCAAGCAUGCCUGCAUGCACAGAUUAUAUAUAUAUAUAUAUAUAUGUAUAUAUAUAUAUAUAUAUAGUAAAUAUAUAUAUGUAUAUAUAUAUGUAAAUAUAUAUAUGUAUAUAUAUAUGUAAAUAUAUAUAUUGCUUGGUUUGGUAGCAGCGGUACCAGUGAAGCGUGACGUUGUAUUUUGCUCGGUUGACGACGUUGACCACGAGUGUGUCUCCGUUUCGAACCGCUAGCGUCGGACCGGGGUAUUGGCCGUUGACGGUGAUGAUGUUGUGGGUCUUGCACAGCCUCUUCACUGGCGUCGCUUGGACCUGUUCACAUCCGGUUGACUUCAGAAAAUGAACACCAACCCAAUAGGGCAGAUGACAACGCAGAUGAGGAUCGAGGAUGGAUGGCAUACCACAAACUCAUGGUAGUGGACUUCUGCAUCGGCACAAGUGAACAUUACGGAGGACCACAGCAGCAGCAGAGGCAGCAGGAGGAGGAGGAGGAGGGAGCACUUGUAUGAGUUCUUGAGUGCCUCCAUCCCCCUACUCAAUCCUAUUCCAGGUAGUGAGUGAUGCAGCAGAAGCGAUUGAGAGGUUCCAACCCAGUACUUGUCCAGUUGUUUGGUGAUGCAACAGCGAUUGAGAGGGCUGCGUUAUUUAUAUACAAACGGAGGUAAUGGGUUUGUUUGUGGUUGGAAGAUUAGGUUUUGAAUUGUGGAGAAAAAGAGUGCUUGUAUAGAAUUUUUUCACCAAUCCGAGGGCUCAAUCUCCGAGGAACAGUUGCACUACUACCAUAGAGGGAGUGGUUAUACCCACUAGAUCACAAUAGUUGUAGAAGAAGCCUCAUCCCACAUCGACAGACCUUUUGAUUUUUUGUGGAAAUGAUUCUUGCACUGCAUGCAUGUUUUUAAUCAUUGUGGCUCAUAUUCCAAAUGAUUUGUUAUGACGUACAAUCCGUGGCUACAUUAGCCAACUAGUCAAGAGUGCCUUUUUCAUUCUUUGCAGCAAACAAACUCACAUCUUUCCUAUAGUUAGGUCCUCGGUGAAGACAAUUGUGCAGAUGUGUGGUUAGGGUUGUUAGAGCAAGAACCAUCUUUUCCAGCAGUGAUGUUGUUUGACUUGUCUAAAUUGCCGGGUGGAGAAGUGCAAUGAGCCUUACAAGUCAAUUCUCAAUUUCCACAUCCUCUUCGCUCUUGGCACUCGUUCUUUUUAUGUCUGAAUCAAAGUCGUCAAGAGUAAUUAAUUCGACCUGCCAUGUGCUCUCCAAGCCCUUCUUCAUCAUCCCAUCACUAUUUGAUCCAUAACUUCCCUACAAAUACAAGAACAACAGGAUAAUUUGAUCUAUUCACUAUUUGCUCACUCAGAAAGGCCACCUGGAACAAUUUCUUAAUUAGAUCUAUUCAUUUUCAUCAACAGGAUAAUUCUAUUUCUAGCUACCAAUAAGACUUCAAAAGGAAGGAUAGAAUCAUAAAAUCUUCAAGAAGACUUUUUUAUUGACUACAAAAAAGCUUCAAAUUCAAAACCCAUUCUGUAACAAUUUUUCUAUCAACAGAAGCUGGGAACCAUAAAUCUAUAGCAUCUCGUAUUGUACCACCCGGUUCAGAGAAGCUAGCAGACGCGCUCUCUACUUUCUGCAUAUGAUGACACAUCAUCAGUUGGUAAUUAUAUGCUGGACAAACCAUUGUCACACUGAAAAGUUGCUUUCAGAAGCUAUUAAUACAAAUUCUGUAUCGGUAACUGCUUAAUGAUAUCUGGACAAAUGUCACACCACCAGUGGUGAUUUUCAUGUACAUGCCAGAAAGAAGUCAGUGCACAAGACACAAGAUAUGUAUUCCAACGUGAAAUUGUUCUCAUAUUUUGUUAUACUUGAUAUGCUGACUUCUUACGUGAAAGAAGCCAGCAUAGCACAACAGUCCAACUGAUGUUGUCCAGCUCAAAACCAAAUCUUCAUCAUCUCCCUCCUUCGUGGAUGCACCUUAAGCUUUUAAGCCAGCGGUUAGGAAGAGCACCAUCUAUCUGACUUGUAAGAUCCACGAGGUGCAGUCAUGGAGUAGCUGGAACUUCUGACAUGCUGCUAUGCUGAGAAACACUUGCAUUUUGCCAAGGAAUGCCAACAAGUCUUCAUGGCACCGGAAUGAGCCACCACAUGCACACUGCUCCACUAAGUGAGCAGCUUUAACUUGUCUGCACCUGUCACAAACAAGAUCCUGCAAGUGGUAAAGCCUUUCUCUCUGCCUAACUACUUGAAGGAGAGCAUUCUCCAUCUGCUCACGAUUGUAUGGCUGUCCACAAUGUGGCACCGCACAGUGCCAAUUAUCCUCCAAAAGUACUGAAUCAUGACAGAAGUCUAAAUCCCGGCAAUCAUUGCAGUAACUGCAAAUAGAAAACCUGAAUUAGGAAUGGAGUACAAAAGAAAGGCUGGAGUGUAGAAUACGGGCAAGUUCCAUGAGUAAGACUCUACUGUCAGAAACUUGGAGCAUAAUAUGACCUUUGAGAUUAUUUUGUUACUCGAUGUCUAAGAUGCCAAUAAGCUACCACAACAUAAACAAAAUUGAUCUCCACCAUACCUGCAAAUAAUAUUCGGAAGUGUAAAAGACUGACAUGGAUCACGAAACUGUGCUUCUGGAGAAAACUCUUUGACAUGGAUCCGUUUUAAUAAAUUCUUCCUCAUCCGCUGUCAAGUCAAAGCAUAUAAUUCAGCAACCAUUGCCAGAAGCUUAUAAUAUUUUGAAUGACAACCAAUAAACACAACAUAAUAAAAUUAAUGUAAAUACACAUAACCACAAACCGAAAUAAAUUGCAUGUCAAAUGCAAACUUAUUUUUAGGUUGUAUUUCAUUCACUCUUUUGGACUUUGAAAUGGACUUUAUUUUGCAAACAAACAAUGUAGAUUUUAAUGCAACCCUUUAUAUUGCGCACAUUUUCCUUGAGGGAUUAAACAAUAGCUUCAAACAACUAGAAUCAAUUAAUAAAAAAUGAAGUUAAAUAACUCAUAGAUAAGAAAAAUUAUUUGUUAUGACAAGGAUGAGUUUUACUAGUGGACCACUAAAAGGAUCUUGUUUGUCUCGGGGAUCAAAGAAAGACAACCAAUUUCUACUCAGUAAAAUUUAGAAUCAAAUUAUACUUUGGAGAAUUACCAACAAAAGUAGGUUUCAACUUCAUUUGAAUUGUUAUUUCCAUAUGUGCAUUAGUGAAAACUAAAUUUAUUUGGAUCAGAUAUCUCCAGCAAAGUCUUGUACCAACAAGUUUGAUGCAUCAUAGUUAAUUUCAAAACUAUAUAAAUCCACUUCCAACUUGAUCAGAGAACAUUUACCAUGCUUGCCAUUUCGGUCAUGAGCCAAUCAUAUACCCAAAACUAAUUGCUGAACUCAGCAGAUAUUUUGUACAGUGUCCUCACAGGGAUGAUGCAAUAAACAUGAUACACAUAUGAGUAGCACAACUUUAUCUAGACAUGGCAGAAACAACUUCCAAAAAGUUGGGUCCCUCACAGAGCAGAAAGUUUGAGAAACAAUGAUUACCUAGUUCUAGCAACUGAAGGCACAUAAUGAAAUUUAGAUAAACAAGAAUUUGGGAAUUUCCUUCUUCCAAAAUUAACAAUUAAACAUAGCACUAGCCACUUCUUAUUAGAUAGGGUGAUUUAGCUUGAUGACCAUAUUCCUAAAAAAUAUUGCAUGUAAACUUUCUGCACAAAAAUAUAAAGAACAAAGCACUAUCAGAUAUUCUUCUUAUUAUAUAUUUAAAUAAGAUAAAAGAAAUAGGGUUGUAUACCAGAACAUCAUGUUUAACAUUCUGAUCAAGAGCAAGAACAGCACACACAUGCUUGAUGAACUCUAAUGCAGCAUCUCCCUUAUUUCCUUGGGAUCCAUAAGAACAGGGGAGAACAUGAGUUGCAUGUAGGUCCUUAAUUCCUUUGUUUUCUCCCUUGAAACGGCGGAGUAUAUCACACACAAUGUUAAGAAGCUUCUCAGUAAAAUAAUUGCUGAUCUGCAACAGGCAAAAUUUGGAAUAAGUAGAGAUAAGCUUGUGUCUGUUGUUACUACAAGUUAUAUAUACCUGUUCUUUGAUGUAUUCAUUGACACAAGCUUCAAUUGUUUCGGCAGCUGUGACUGUGAUUGAUUGAGUACUAGUACUAUCAUCCAUCAUAUUAGUAGUUCGGAUCAAAACUUGUUUUUGUAAGUACUUCCAUGGGAUAUACAAGAACUCUGACACUAUCAAGACAAAGUGAUCCUGUUUGGCACCAAAAGAUUGUUUGAAUUAUUCUUCCAUUUAGUGCAUUAUCAGGUAUCAAUAUAGUUAAAAGGAACAAAUACUAGUCAGAUUAAUAAAAUCAAAGCUAUUGUUUUCAUGAGUAGAUAUUUUUAUUGGGAAAUGACGAACCUUAGUGACCUUUGGUAGGUAUUCUGCUAUAUUCCAGCUUGAUACCAUGUUCAUUUGAGAAUUAUCCUCCAUAUCCUCUACUGGCAACCCCGUAGGCCAUUUGGCUUGAAUCCCUCCAUAAUUUAACUGCAGUUCAUAUGUACAUUUUAGCAAUCUAAUAUAGCUUAAAUCAUUAUAUAUGUAAAAUAAUGAGUCAAUCAUAAUAUGCUGAGUUGAUAGUAGACUCUCUUUAUAGAAAAUAAAUGUUAGCAUGGAAAGAUCUGUAAAAGAAAUACAAGUUAAAAGCAAAGGCAUACCUGGUCCAUAAACAGUAAUGAAUGCCAAAAAUGCAGAGGUUCAAGCUCAAUCCACUCAAAAAGUUCCCUGUGAAAAUAGCAUCAAAUCAUAAUAACAGAAAAAGGUAGAUAGAAUGCUUAUUCAUCUUAAUAAGUCUGCAAUGACAAACCUUGUUUGCAGUGUUCUCAGCAAACAAUCACAAUAUGCUCUAGCAGCUGAUAGUUCAAUCUUACCCGUGUCUAUAAUGAUCUUAGAGAAGUUUGCAAAGAUGAUGGUGGCUCCUAGUUUUUUAAACUCAACCAGCAGCAAUGCAAAUACCUUUUUCAUAAACUGUCAAUGCUCAUAUGAAGACAAGCAAAAUACUUGAGAGCUUGUUUCAUAAUAUCUGCUGCAGAAUAUUGCAUCAAGUAGACUAAAUAACCAGAAUGUGCAACUUACCAUGUUCAGGACCCGAUGGAGGGCAGGGUCAUGAAGUUUUGACAUUGGGCUGAAUGACAAAUGUUAAAUGUUAGCUUGAGAAAUUGACAAAAUAAUGAACAUUGAGUGCAAAAGCUUUCAACUUCUCAACCUGCAAAGCCACCGGUAAAGAUGCUGCAAUAUUGCAUCAGCAAAGACAUUACCAGAAGCCACAGCAUCUGAUAUGCAUCUCUGAAUUAGUUGCUUUACUACUUGAAAUGCAGGCGCACACGAGCUAGCUUCAUCAUAAUCAGUUUCGUUAUCAUGAGCAGGGGGAUGUGAGUCAGAUUCAUGACAAAAUAGGGAUCCCCCAUCCAUUUCUUCCACUAGACUGCUCUUGAGAAGAGCAUUAACAGCUAGGUGGUGAAUCUGCAGAAGAGCAAGCAUUAGCAUCAACUUUAUGUAAAGUUUGAUGAUGUUAGUCUAACCUUCAGUUCAACUGCCACUUUUCUAUAUGCUCCAGGAUAACUGGCAGCUGGUUGGUUGACCUGUUUUCAGUCAUAAUACACCAUUGAGUACAACAACAAACACUGAAUAAUACUGAGAAUGUUGAUCUUUGAUAGGCAAAUAUUACUUCCAAUAAUCAUAUAUACUUUAAGAAAAUAUUUGAGGAUUAUGUUCUUCAAGAACUAUAAACAUGAGAAAAAGAAUAAUGUAGUGAUUCGAUAAGCUGUCAGUAAAGCAAAAUUAUCUUCAGUGUACCGAAGUCCUUACUUCAUCAGCAAAGCAUGUAUCUCCCUCAUAAAUGCCCCCAAAAUCUGGAAUUCCAUCAUCAGAUAUCCAUAGUACCUAAAAGACACUCCAGGAACAUCUUAAGCCGUAUUGAUAAUAAGCAAUGAAGAACUUAAUUUUGUAAAUGUGGAAAUGUAUAUAGUACAUUGACUAACUCAAUUCAUGUAAAUAGAAAUUGACAAACCUAGAGAAACUAAGAGCAGCUAGUAUUUAUACAAAAAGAAUGACUACAAGAACUUAUUUGUAUGACAAGUCAACCAAUAUGAAAAAAAAUGCAGAAAUCCUCCUCAUUUAUAAUGUUCUCACUAAAGCAUUGAUUGACAAAGAGGAUAUACACCAGCAAAAAUAUGGUCAAAUUUUUAAAAUGUAAAUACAUUUAUUUUUUCAAAGACUGCUUAAAAGUUGAUACUUUCCAUAAAAUCUAUUCCAACCACAUUGAAAAAAACAAUCAAGAAAUUCAUUCAGGCAAAGCCUUUAAUUUUUUAAUUAAUGCCAACACAAGCCAUUUUGUAGGCAUUUUGAUUGUGAUAACUAGUUUCACACACUUUAGUCACUGUCUCAAAAUGAACUAUAGCAAAAGUUGCUUUUGAAUCAGAUGGUCAUGGGACAGAUUCAGGCCUGCACUAUUCUACAUUAUGGAUUCAAGUCAUCUAACCUCACACAAUAAAAUUAAGCAAGUCAUUUAUGUCGGACAACAAGCAAGAGCUUUCAUGAUGAACUAUUUGGAUCAUAAAGAACCGAAAAUCGAUAAAAUUACAAAAUCAAGAUAACAAAGCAAAAGAAUCCCAAGUACACAUUUGUGUCAAGUGAAAAGGCCAACCUGUUGCUUAUCACGCAAUGCCCUAGAGAAGAAGACAUCAGCAGUAAAUAGAAGCCAAUCAAGUUCAAAAUUCCCUAAUGGCACCUGUUUGAUCACAGAACAUGGACAUAAAAUUUCAUAAGUCAACACUAGCUCAAACAUAAAGGCAUAGAAGUGAGAACAUGAUUAUUACAUGUGCAUAUCUUGAUAGCAAAAUCCUUUCAUUAAACCACUGGGAUGAUGCAGCACAUCUUUGCAUGCUAAUUUUACCAGCUGUAACUUGCCAUCCAAGAGCCUGUAUAUGAAUUGAAGUAAGUCAAAGCUUUUUGGAUGUGCAUAAUUACAGAGAAAGCAAGAACGAUUUGGCUGUCAUGGCAUCUUCAAGAAUACCUGAUAAUUGCUAUCACAAGCAUUAAAAGACAUAGUGACACAAGGGAAGUCUUCCAGAAUUCUUAUCCUUGACUUGAGAACUUGAAACCCUGGACAUUCUAUGAUACCAAUAGCAGGUUGAAGAUGUUGAUGCCUAUCACAAAAUUUAUAAUUAGAUUCGUGUAAACUGUAGUAGAAGUGAAAUAUAAAUAUAAUAUGAAAAUUCUUUAUUAGGUUUUUUUCUUCCACAAGAAUUCUAUCCUAAAGAAUUUUGUGGAAGUGAAAAAAUUGUACCAUUCUAGAAAGCUUUUGUGAAAUUCCUAAAUUCCUAACACAUCAUAUAAGAAACUACCACUGGAAAAGUUGGAUAAAAAGAGAAUUUUACAUAGGAUCCAUCUCUAUAUGUUCAAAUAACAUUUCAAUAAUAUGUUACCAGGUGACCAUCCAGUCUACCCUGUACCAGAUCGGAACUGCCCGAAAAAGGACAGUCCUCUUCUCAGUCCAUGCCUGGACAGGUCCAGGCAAAAUAGGGUUCCUUGCAUGUUAUACCAAAAGCCACAUAAAUUGACUUGAGAAAUAUAAUAUAGCACCCAAAUAAUGAAAAAGGGAAGAACCCUCCAACAAAUGAGGUACUUUUUCCCAGAAAAUUAAAGAUUGAUGUGGACUAAAUUGUCAAAAUCUGAAUUCUAAAAUCCAAAGAAGAGUUUUAGAAAAACCUGUGUGCAACUAAUGUUCUCUGCAAAAUUUUGCUUCCAACAUCAAUUGAUCGGACAUACUCGACCUGAAAAGAGUGAUUGAGAUGUGAUAAAGAAAACUGGAAGAUAGGAAGAUAGAAUGACCAAUCUAUAAAUAAAAGUAUGACAACAACCAUACCUUAAAGGUAGCACUACCAUUCGUUGGAGGUUCAAUAGAUAAUGCAAGGCAAGCUUCACGAAAUUGUUUCUCCAGAAUUGCUGAUGAUAGUUCUUUGUUCUGAAAAGGGUUUACAACAACAACAGAUAUUGUCCAAGAUGUGGGGAAGUAUAUAACGUAUAUUGCCCUUCCCUCCGAGAAGCUGGCACCAAAACAAGAAAGAUUGGUGGGAACAUAUUGUAGUUAACUUGAAUACGGCAAAAAGGUAAAAAAGUGUGUCCAGGCACAAAAAACAUAAGUUGACACUAGAAGCAUGCUUCUUCCUAAAGGAUUGAAUUUAUUAUUACUUGUCUUAACCAAAUAAACAUAAGUUGACACCACAUCCAAAUCUUCUUAGCCUUAGUUUGCAUUAAAUAAAUUCUUAGUAAGAUAAAGUUACAAUAUUGAACUUAAGGAAUAUGCUCUAAACAUGAUGUCUUUUAUGCUCUAAUAAGUACAAUUCAUCUAUCAGCUUAUUCACUGAGAUAUCAUAAAAAUCAGUAUAUACAAUUAAAUCAGUAAUACAUACAAAGCUCUCCUGAACCUCAAUUAUCCAUACCUUAGCAAGGAUUAAAAAUACUGGCAUACCUGUGGUACAGAUAAAAGUAGGUAACUCCUUGUUCUAGAUAAGAGCAUUCUGCCGUAGUCUUCAUAUGCAACUCAUCCAGGUUCCAGCCAUCUUGAGCAUUUCGCAAUUUAGCAGCUUUGUCUACUUGGCAAACACAACCAAUCUGGACAAUAGCAUGAAAUUCUAAUGGCACCUUUGUCUCAUAUAUCCCCUACAAAGAGUUAAAAGACAAGCAGAUUCAGAUUAUUCACCAAAAAUAAAAAAAAGUUAAUGUGAAAUGUGCUUGAGUGACAGUCUUUUAAAGGAAAUAAUAAGAUUGUAAAAACCAUGUCACAAUAAUAUCAAAACAGUGAAGCAAGUCUAAAUCCAACAAAAGAAAUUAAAUUGGAAGACAAAAGAAACAAUGAGGCUUAACUGAUUUUACUUUUGGAACUUUGAUCAUAUAUGGGACAUAUAAGUGAACAAGUCGCACCAUUCACUGAUUCACAAAUAACAGAAGAUAAGAAAGUAAAUUACUUGCUCAUCAUAAAGAAUUGUCUUUCCAGGUGACCAGAAUGAUAUGAAGUCAAAAAUCUUCUUUUGGGAGCCACGUUCAUCAAGCUCAUAUCCAUUAUGGUCCGUUAUAUAUCAGCUUAGAAUAUUUGAUAUAUCUAGGCCUAUACAUAGUGAACUUAAUGUAUUUACACAAAUACAAACAAAAAGUCAUCAGAUUUAAAUAGACCAACAACAAUGAGAUUGAGCUAUCAAGUCACCUAGAGCUUUGAGAUCAGCAAAACAAAGUUUCUAAUUAAGAUCUCUUAGGCUUAUCUCCCUGACAUUGUAAACUAAUUUAAUCUUCUAUUCAGUUUGUAAAAUGUUUUUGAGUUCUCCAAUUUUAGUGCACAUAAUACAUAUCAAACUAUGAAUGUAAAAUAGAUUAUAUUUAUUUACUUAAUAUUUAGUAUGGUUGGAUAACCUUAACUACAACCUCAUGCCCUAACAUGUAUAAUGCAUAUUUUUUUUACAUUAGUUUGAACACCGAGACAAAGAUCUAACAUAUAAUAGAUUGAAGUAUUAUUUAUUCACUAUCAAAUGAAGGAAGCAUAACCAAAAGUAACACUAAAAAGAAAUAUGAUGGAUAAAAGAAAAAGAUGUUGAUGUUGUACGAUGAAAAAAGUAAUAGUAAAGUCAUUUGCUAAGAUUUUAGGAAAACAACUAUCUUCAGUCAUGCACAAGAAGAAUAUUUUUCACCUCAACUUCUGGAUCUGCUAGGUGAGCUGCAAGUUUCUUGCUUUCGGCCCUGAAUUGUUCUUCACUAAUAACAACCUUAAAAAGAACAUGUUUAAUUUAAUCAGACCGAUAAGAAAAAGAAAUAUAAACUCUAAAAUAACUUUUUGGUUUAAAGACUAAAGCAAACUAUGAUAUUUUCAGUUUUCCACUAUUAACUAUUAGUUGUAAUUGAUUAUAAAAAACAAGGAGAGAGAGGAUUUGUGAAACAAAUCCAAGGAUACCUCAAUGAGAUUGAAGUUAGGUCUGCUAUGAGGAAGAAUCUUUUUAACACGCCUUCCAGGAAACUCUUCUGUAAUUGGAGCUUUAGAAUUGAGAUAAAACACUCUUGGAACAUUUAUUGGGACCUUAUGCAUGGUGCCAUCAGCAAUAACCCAGGCAUAAAAGUGCCCAGGUUGUGUUCUUGGGACAAGCUGUAAUAUCUGUUUCAGGAAAUUUGACUCAAUGACAUUCACCAUGCACAAAUUUAGAAAAGUUCAAUCAAUGUUGACUGGCUCUAUGUCACUACCUGCCAGUGAGACCGAACAAGACUUGAUUCAUGUUUCUUGAAGAAUCCACUGACACCAAAUCUCUGGCUAUGCUUGUACUUGAAACUUGAGUCAGGAAACUUAGUUGUGCCAACAGGUUCAUCUGAUAUAUUUGUGCUACCCAAUCUGGCAACCAAGAAAAUGCCAGGUCAAACUGAGUAAUGUACCUUCAAUAACAUUUACAUAACCCAAAAUACUGUGGUACUCGUACUUGAGGAAAUUCUCAAUUAGGCCAGUCCAUUAAUUCUUAAGAACAUAAUACAAAAUAUUCUUCAUCAUAAUUCAUUAUUACGGAUUGAAUCAUAAUACUUUUGUAUCAAUAGUGUUAAUAGCUUGGAAAAUACCUUUUGGAAAGAUUUUUUCCCUGAUUCAGACUUCCAAGGAAGAAUAAGAAUAUAUCUUUGAUAGGAUCAGGAAAAAGUACUGCUUUAACAUAUGUAGGAAGGACCACAGAAAAGUCUGCUAGAGUAUAACUAUCUACUUUAAUAUAUGAGGAAAAAAGACCAGGAGGCGAGCACUGAGAAACAACUAUUAGCAAUGUGUGUCAUUUAACAUAUAAAUAAUGUAUACAUGAUUAAUCAUUUGACAAAUUAAAUUUCUAAAAAUAUAAAAAAAAUAAUCUAACUAGAUUCAGUUACUGGAAAGAUCAUAAACCUUAACCAGAAUAAUGGUGCAGGAAAAUCAAGAACCAAGAUGCAAUGCACCUAGAAAGAUUCAACUGGAAGUUUCACAAUUCCAGACAGCUAGCAACACGAAGAUUCAACAGAAAGUGUGCAGAAGGUUCACAUAUAACACAUCAGAUUUUGAAUGCUGAUAAGUGAUAACCAAAGAACAAAAAUAAUAUAUUACCUGCGUCUCUUCCUCUCUUCACGAGAGUCCUUCCAUUUUCUCUUCUUCGUUUCGAGCCAAGCUUGAUAAUCAAUGGUCUUAUCCCCAUUUUCACUGGAAAUACCAUUAUUACUCGAUGAAACUAGCGAUUGAUUUGACCGAAAUAGGGUGAGAUCUUGCUCCUGGAGGUCAACAGGCAUCCCAGAUACUGGAGAAGAUGGUUUUCUUGAAUUGAUUUCUCUAUUGAAUUCAAAGCUAUGAACUACAGGUCGAGGUGGAAGUACUCUAGCACCAUCUUUGACCAAAAUUUCUUCAAUAUCCCCAACAAUUGUCUCAUCUUGAGCCACCUGCUCUCUUUUUGCUGUAUUAAAGAUGUCAACAAGUUUACGCUGGCGAAAACGAUCCUCUUUCUCGCAAACCUUCUUGUGCAACCAAUCCGGAUGGACCACUCUUGGUACAGGGUUAGAAACCUGAGAUAAAUUGGGUUUUGGUCUGAGUAAAUCAAGAAAAUGUUCAACAAGAAUGAUGGUUCAAACCUUUUGCAUUGCAGCAGGGAUGGUGAUAAUUUUUUGAAUAGCUGAACUAAGUCGUAGCGUGUAAUAAGACCAAUCAACAAUAGACCGAAUGCCCACAUCAGAAGUUAUUUUACACCACUUGCGUAAAUAGUACUUUGCAAUCUCUGCAUAUAGAAGAAUACAUGUGUUAGAUAUGUGUUCAAACUUCAAACUAGACCCAUCAAUCUACUUAGCACAGAUGUAGGAAAAAGCAAGGUUCACUAUACCAUGGCCCGAUAUGAGCAGUACAUACCGAUCCAAUAGGGGACUGUAUAGGCAGUACAUACCGGUCUGUCAGUACACCCCACUAUACCAUAUGUCAGUAUGUACUAUACCGACAACCAAUCAGUACACUGGUAUGGACUGGUAAGGCGAACCAUGGGAAAAAGAGAACAAUACCUGCAUCUGUUUCAAAUAUUGCAACAGGGACUGCACGCUCACUUACUGGAGUUCCCUGCAUGAUUAGUUGAUAAAAGGUCAUAUAACAGUCUUGACAAAGCAUGCAAUUUUUUUCAUUUGUAGUAAAGUCGAUACAACAAUUAGUUAAAAUAUAGAAAAAGCAUAUGAAAGUCACUUAGAAAUAUUAUAGUAAUAGAAAUAUCAACUACCUGACUUACCAAUUAGUGAAAAUUGAAAAAGAAAACAGAAAAAAGAAAAAUAGCAAUUAGUUCCUCAUCUCAGAAAUAAAAUUUACAACUAAAAGAGAUAAGUUAAUGCAAUUGAUAUGAAAAAUGAUAGCAUUUUGUAAGAAUUUGUUCGACAGUUAUCAUGCUAUAAAUUUCUGUUGAAAAAUUUACUUACAAUUCGAUAUAGACCAAAAAAAGUGACUAACCUGUGGUUCUCGGGCGACUAUAUAUUGGCAAUGGAGUCCUUUGUCUUUAACCAUUGCAUCUCCCAGAAAAUGAGCAAGCCUUUUUGCAGUAGUUACAGCACAUGAUUUCUGUUCCCCAUAAUCAACCAAUGAUUUACUCAUUGUGCUCGACUCUGAAAUAUAAUCAAGAAGCUCACUGUCGGCAAUAUCAAUGCCUUGGUUCUGACAAAAACAAAAACUGUUAACUACAUAGACACUAAACGUCAACCAGUUGUUCAAAAACCUAAGGGUAACAGCAGCAUUGUAGCUUACAUCUAAAAGAUCUAGCCAGCGGUUUGCCACAGAUGCAACAGCUGCAUAGCAUUCUUCCAAGGUUGAUCCAUGAAGAAAUUUGUCAAAAACCUCAGCCUGGUAGAAGGACAUUUGUGGGAAUUCAUGAAGAAUUUGAACAUCUGCUUGCUCAAAUGAGGCUUUAUUUUUACAAUAAGGUUUGUUGAAAAAGAACUAUAAGCUUACAGCAUGAAGGCAGAAGCAGUUUUGAUAUUAUGUUUACAAAUGUAUGUGACUAACAAAAGAUUUGGAAGAAGGCAUCAUGCAGAGUGUAGCUAAUUAGAUAGCAUAUCUACAAGAUAACCUUCAUUAUAAGUUAUGAUUCUGAAAGGUUUCGAUUUGGGCCACUUGACUGCACAAAGUUAUUUGCCAAAAAACAAAUUGUCUAACAGUGCAAGCAUUAGAUAUCAUCCAUGAUACCAUAAACUAGUCCCACGCCAAGCAUGGGUUAUAACUCAAUAUGCUCUACAAGUCACCACUGACCUCCAGAAAACACCAUUUAGUUACUUGCUAUACAAGGAAGAAAUGUUCUUCUGGCUCCAUCAUUGACAAAUCAAGCCAAUUUUGGACUGCUGCUCAUAAUGUCAUCCGGAUUUCAAUUGAAAUAAAUGCAAAUAUUUCUGAUGGUCCACUAAUAUUCAAGAUUUGAUGCCCCACUCUAGUAAAGACUUGAUAUGACUAGGGUUAGACAUUAAGUUUAUAUCAUUUUACUAAGCUCAGAGAGAAGUUAGGUAUAAUCCAAUAAUUAAUUGUGGUCAAAGAUACAUAUCGUAUAUAAGGUAUUAUCACAAAUCAAAAAUUUUCUUCUCUUCAUAAAAGAAAAAGAAAGUGGAUUGUGGCUACAGUAGAGAUUGUUGGAACAUUCACCAGCAUCAAAUAUAUGCAUCUAACGGAACUAAUUCUAGUUAAAAUGUCUAUUCCUUUUCAUCAAUUUCCUAGAACAUAAAUCUGACACCAUCAAUUCAUAUUGAUUAGCCAUGAUUUUCCAGAAGACUUUAAAAUCCUUCUGUGUAACUACCCUCUUAGUGAAAAAAGAGGGCUAUUAUAAUAUAUCAUUCUUGAUAGUAAUCAAAUGAUCAUCUAUUUUUAUUAAGUGAGAACUGACCAUAAUGAGAUCACAAGAUUUAGCAAAAACCAAAACCAUAAUUCUCACUUAUGAUUCUGCAACAACUGUUUUAUCUACACUGAUCCAAAAUAUAGCAAAAAUUGUUAGUCUGCUACAGAUAUUAAACCACGGAUGAGCACCAAUAUGAUGGUUCACUUUUGGAUGUGUUCCAACUAUUCUAGUAAAUUUCUACCUGAAGUUAAAAGUACUUUUCAAGCAAGUGACUAUAUCAAUGAUAAAAAUGGCAAUCAUAAUACUUGAACAUCAUCAUGAUCAUCCAACUCCUUUCAACCAAUAUAGAAUCAGUCAUGGAGCACCUCCCAGAAGGCUUCAUAAAAAUUGUGCAUAAACUUAUGUCUGGCAAUUAACUGGAUAUUGACUUUCAAGAGCCGAAGCAACGUCCUAGUUUAGAUGAACACUGGCAUUAAAUAUAGAGGAUUAAGUGAAAAUGGUCUAGAUCGAUAAGCUUUGGAAACAUGGUCAUACCCAACACCAAGGCACAACCAAAAAAUUAACCAACAAAACCAUAUAAGGCUACCAAACAAUUAAAAUAGCAAAAGCAUUCUUAUACUCUGUUCCAUGUGAAUAUAAUGAUUACUUACAUUUCUUUUUUUAAUCAUAAAGUGCCUAUCAUAACUCAUAGUCAUUCAAUAAAAUGGACAUCAAAAUUCUACCAGAGAGAAAGAUACCUGGAAUACUUUUAUGAGCUUCAGCUCACCUCUGCGUUUGAUCUCAAAACCUUUGAGUUCUGCUAGGGUGCCAUCAUAAUUGAAUACUGCAUAUCUCUUCUUGAUUAAAAUUCCUUCUGCUUUUGAAGCUGGAAGGAUCAUUGCCUGCUUCAGAGAAACCAUCACAAAGACGUACAUGGAGAAACAGUUAUACCUUAGAAACAGAAAAAAUUGCAAUUUGCUUGCCUUGUAUGGCCCGUCCACUUCAAAUUCAAUGGAACACUCACUGUGGGUUGUAUAAGUUCUGGUGACAGGAUCUUUAAGUGUCUGAGAUAGUGACAUAAGGAAAGGAAACAGAAGUUAGCAAGACAAGUAACACCAAAAUAUUAGACAAUCUUCCUAAAGAUAGCAAAAUCAUAUAAUAUUUGAAGUAGGAAAUGAUAUAAAGAAAAGCAUAACCUUAGCUAAAUCUCAAUGCAAAUUGUGGUUUGUUUAUCCUCACCUGGUACUGAUCAUUAGUGUUGUUUCUGGCAACAUCAACGUUAAGCAUAACACACGGAUAAGAAAUUGUGAAUUUCUUUCCAUCACUGAAAGAAAUGCAAAAUUGCAGUCAGGACUUCAAAAAGUAAAUGAAAUAAAAAUCUGAAUAUCUUAAACAGGAAAUAUCACAAACAUAUUUUAACCAUUCAACCUCACUAGUAGGAACUAGGAAGCACACAUUCAUAUACUAAUCCAACAUGAACAUACUAUUACAUAUUCGAGACCCAUACUAAUAUAUAGCAUAGAGCACGGAUUGAAAUUUCGUACUAUACCGAAAUUUCGAGACUUAUUCGGUAAGGUACGAUACUAUAUACCGAGCGGUAUAUUUCGGUAUACCGCUUGGUGUAUAUAUAUAUAUAUAUAUAUAUAUAUAUAUAGGGAAACCUCUCGGUUUACCUCUAUGUGGGGUGAUGUCGUCGAGGCGACGUCGUAGAUUAAAAAAAAAUUGCGAUGUCACCUCCCUUCUCGGGCGACGUCGCCUAAAAAAGAUUUGCAAGAAACGUCACCCGAGAAGAGAAGAAAAAAAAAGAAAUCUUCGCCUCUCUCCGCCCCGCGACGCCGAUGCAACUUCUCUAGCACGUGGAUGAGAAGUCACCGACAGACGAGGAGGAGAGCAGCGAUCUCUAGGUUCUCCCUUUUUUUCCUAUUUCUUUCUUCCCCUUCUCCCUCUUCUUUCUUCACCCUCAGUUACCGUCAAUGAUAACGCCUCAAUCGACGACGAUAACGCCUUAAUCAACGGUACUGCUCGGUAGCGGACGGUCUGUGUACCAGUCUGUUGACGGACCGGUACGUAUUGCUCGGUACGAGCGGUAUCAUUCGGUAUUGUAGACCUUGGCACAGAGUACCAAUUCUGACUACAUAUACGGACAGUUGUGUGAGUAUGUGGGCAAGACUAAAAAGGCCAAACAUAAAGCAACAACUCCAUGUGUGCAAGUCAAGGUACAAUAGACACAUAAAGUACGUGGGUAAAAGUGAAGACAACACAUAUAGUACAAAGCAUGGUUUGCAGUACCAGUCCGUACCGCCCGGUACGGGCGGUACGUACCGGUCCGACAGGCUUCCGGUACACGGACCGCCUGUUACCGUACUGAAUAGUACCAGGUUGAACCAGCACACAGUUUGAUCGAGUUUUCUUUUAUUUCUAAAUUUGAUAGCUGCUGCUAUCUUUUUAAUUAAAACCUAAAAAGUUUGAUCCCAGUGGCUGUUCAUGUAUGAGAAUUUAGAACCACCCCCUUCUCCCUCUCUCUCAUCCCUGCUCCCCGCCACUACUACCUGCUGCUCACAGUAAAACUGCUGCCACCUGCCUGUUACUCUCCUCUUUCUCCUCCCCACUUCUUGAUGCCAAUUAUAAUGUGGCAUUCCGUGUACUCGUAUGCCCAUACAUGCUGGAUCCAUACCAGUUCAGUCAGGGUCCAACCAAUAUCAAAAUUUUAAAACUUGUUACAAAUAAAAAGAUAUAUAGUUUGUUUUAGAUUUUCAUAGAUGAACUUAACUGCAGCUAUAUUGAGAAUUUACAGAAUGAUAUGCUUCCAUUUUAGAAAAAGAAUUGAUUGAUUUUUACUAUGAAAACUUGCUCAAGUUGUAAGGUAGAAGAAAUGUGAAAAGGUUCAAUUCUAUGUUAGUAAUAAUAAACAACAGCAAUAGUGAGGCAAAUAAAAGCAUAUGCUGCCUCAUAUUUCCUGUUUAUGCAGCGACAUAUGCAACCACCAGUUUUGCAUAUUCGACAAUAUUGUAUAUCAGGACAGUAUCACUUUAAGCAAGGAAGCCAGAAAAGCUUAGUUAAAACUUUAAGAAAUUAAAAGAACUAAACAGUUUUAACAGUGAACAUAAUUCUUUCAGCCAAUUUCACCAUCUUUGUUCAGAUGUGUUCGGUAUCAUGAAGCAAUAGUAAGCCAAAGUAAUAUCCUAGUUUAGUGUACUUAACUUUUAGAGCAUCUCUGCCAUGUAUUUUGCCUAUAUCUAGACAGAUCGAUGGAUGAUAAAAUGAUUUGUUCAAGAAAAGUAGUUACUUGUUAACCAGAUCUAGACCAAAGCUCCUUAUCUCACUAAAUUUGUGCAUCACCAGCUUCCAUAUUCAACAUAUGCAGCAAAUGAGCAUAGGUAUCAAAAUCCAGAUAAGUAUACUCCAACUUUGAGCAAACAUAUAUUGACUCUCAGAAUGACAACUAAAAGAAAACUAUCUUGUAAAUAAAACCAAGGAAUUCCUAGUAGAGCCUUGUCUUGGAAGCCCAAGUAUAGUUGCACCUGGAGUAGAAAAUUAAUAGUAAUGCCAAAGAAUCAUAGUAAAGCCUGGGCCACUUAACCUAGAGGUAAAAACCUUAUCCAACAAGUGAAAAAAUAACUAAGUAUGCAAAUCAUGAAAAAACAUGUUUUGAUAAGAACACAAAAAAAAAAAAGCAGUGUAUGACACUUGAGGAGAAACGAGAACAAAAGGAACUUACCUUGUUUUAAAUGUAAAGUUCUCUGGAAAAGAUCCUGGAAGCGCACACCAAAUGCCAUCUGUAUCCAAUUCCAGUGGCCUCCCAAUCUUUUCAACAAGUAAACGAGCAUUUUGUAUAAUUUUUGCACCAGUAUAAGUGACAACUCCUGCCAUUUCCAUUGAGUACCAUCUUGCACCCCUUUAUAAUUCACAUGAAGAUUGUCAAUAGUAUCCACUUGCUAUCAUCAGGCCAAACUAGCAAAGUAGAUCCAAUCACAUUAAAUGUAUAUGAUCAAACAUAUUACUGAACUCACUUGCGCAUGACAUAUCCAUAAAAGGAAUUGAGUAUACAUUUGUGAGCGAGUUGUAAGGAAUCAUAGAGGAUAACCAUAUCCUGAAAUGUCAAAUGAAAUAAGCAGAUUAAUAUAGUCCCACGUUUAUUCUUUAAAAAAUAAUUUGACUAUAACCUGUGCUUCUUGAAUGUUCAUUUGAUUUCUGCUAGCUUUUGCAUCUGCCAAUUUUCCCUUCCAUACCUUAUUAAGUCCCUUGUAUUCAUACCGUCUGUCCCGGAAACUGAAAUUUGAAUAGAUUUUAAAAGAUUUUAUGAGUGAAUGCAUGCACUGAAACAAGAAGGAUUUAUGUACUUUCAAAGAGAAAAAAACUAAAAAAUUUGACAAAGACUACCAACCCAACAUAAGAAAAAAAAAACGGGAAUGAUAAGACUGCUGCAGACUUAACCAAGUACCAAACAAGCAUACUCAAGGAACCAAAAGCUAACACUAACAGACCUUCGUACUGUGUCAACAUAAAAGGGAUUUUCACGCAUGCAUAUCCCUGCUUCUCUAAGCUCUGUCACAGGCUUGUCCAGAACCCUUUUAUAUGCCUGUUUUGUGUCACCACCAAGUUAUAUAUGAGUUUUCUUAAGAGAAACAAAAUCUCUAGCUAGGGAGUUGUCUGUACCUUCUGACAGUACUUCUUCAAGCGUUCUUUCAGCCUCAAUUGUUGCUCUGAUUUGGGGAGAUCAAGAAAUGGCUUUGUUUUACCAUCACCAAAUUCAACAAGUUCUGACUGAAUUUGUUUCCUUAUGUAAUAGUAAUCACUAUACACAGAAAUAGCAUGUUUUCAUAUAAUAGUACUGAAGAUGCUUUUUCUAAAGAUAAAAAAUAAAAAUACUAAAAUUGAACCUCUUCUUGGCCAUGUAGGUCUCUCCUCGCCAAACCCAUUCUAGUUUACGUAGGCAAUUUUUUCCUGGACGAUUAAAGUCACAUGCAGUGCAGACUACAUCUGUAACUAUUGAUGGAGGCUGCAAUUAUUAAUAAAAUUCAGAUAUUUCAUCAGCAUUACAUAGACUCAUUGAUGUUCUAAAUUUUUCUUCAUAAAAAAAAUCAUUAGUUGGAAUAUAUAUUUGAAAUAAAGUGGCAGAUGACUAGCAUAGAGCAAAAAUAAUUUAAAAUAAUCAAGUCAGUAAAUACGUUAUAAAGGUGCUUCCAUGUACAUGAGGUGACAGUGUAUUAGUUUAAUAAAUUCCAAUUCAGAUCCAAUAAUUUAUUUAAUUAAUAUACUUUAAUUCAGAUAUAAUGACAAGCAAGCAAGCUAAGGAUAACAAGUAUAUUCGGGAAUCUACAUGAUGUACAGGAUAACUAGUGCAGUCAGCAGUACACAAUCAAAUCUAUUUUUAAGAAAGAUAAUGUUUUCCUGGGUAUUCCCAGGUCAAAGAAAAAUAUCUAAACACAUUUCCUCAUACUGGUUUGAUUAGUAGCCAAGAUAACUGGAAUGGACUUCAAGCUAUGAAGUCAAAAUGCAACUAACUGAAAGCAAAUAAGAUUAACCACAUUUUUUUCUAAAUAAACUAUUUUUUCAAUCAAGUUUCUUUGUGUCAAAAUAAGAAAAUAUUGCUUCAAAAGCUCUAUUAAAGAAAAAAAUAUAAUGACAAUGUAAUCAUAGCAGGGUAAAUCCUGUUGAGCACUGUAUAAUAGUACCUGAAGUCUGUUUGUUAAAAUGAUGUUUGGAUACAUUGCAGCAACAUCAAGAUGAUAAAUAAGCGGGCAUUCCUCACAUGUCGGAUGAUCCCGCAAGAAGAUAAGCUGCAAAUUGAAAGUACCAAAAAGAAGAUAGUGAGCUCCACAAUGUAUUCAUUCAUGUUAGCAAAUUACUAGUGCGAGCAAGUGCAGGCCAUAUAAGUAAAUUCACCUAAGGCUGAUAAGAAUUGGUAAAAACAUCAUUUCAUAUAUAUUUCAUAUGAUAGAUUUUUUGUGUAAUAAAGGAUAAUAAGCUUCACCGCAUAACAGCACAAUACAAUGGCCAAGGAGCAGCUAUUAUGAUCAGACAAGUAAAGCUUCCAAACAAGAAUGCAUAAGGAAAAGAAACCACUUAAUUUCUUGUUACACAUAAGCUUAUAAUAUGGAUGCCAAUGACAAUUAACAAUAUAAUGCCUCACCCCAAAUCCCUUUAUGCUUUGUAUUCGUUGAUUGAAAAUAAAUGCAUGAAAAGCUCAAAAACACAACAUUUUAUUUGAUCAAAAUACAACAGAAAAAGCGACAUUAAUGUGACAUUGGAAACUUUAGCAUUGAAUAACAAGAACACAGUAAAGAAAGGGACCUUUUCCAUUAUAGCAUUCUUCACAUCUUCGUAAUUUGCAAUUGAUUCAAUGCUCAUUUUUCCUUCCACUGUAAUUGCAAAUUGAAGGUCACGAUCCAGAUUUCCAAUUAAUUGCUGAAAAAAAUUCUGGUGAGUACAAAAUCGCAUAGAGUCGCACAAAUGAAUAAGCAAAACUUCAUGGAGAAAGAUUUCAAUCCAUGAAAAAGUUCAUGAUGGAAGUGGAAAAAUAACUGAGGGCAAACUCAUUACUCUUUGAACUAAAUAAGCAAAGGCACGACUAAGAUGGUUGAAAAUGGAAAGAUCUAGAGAAAGUAUGCACUCAGAUAUAUAUCUGCAAUGCAACAAGAACAAAAAAAUAAAUAGUAAACAGUCAACCCACAAGGGACUCCCUCCUGUAGUGUCCACAUCCACAAGCUGUGACAGAUCUAUAUCAACAUGUCUGCUAGUCAGAGACUUAUUAGACUCUUGAAUUAUGCUAUCCUGAUGUGGAUCCUAAGGUUUCUUUUCUUCGGAGCCAAACUAAAAAAUUUCACACUAUAACUACAUUACAGUGUAAUACCAUUUUGUUUUCCUACAAGUAUUCUAGGUUCAAUUGGAUAAGAAGAGUGAGUCAAUCUCCUAAUCUGAUCACACUUCUCUUCAAAUCAAGGUUUUGUUACGAUCUAAUAUUUAGUUAAUUUCAUUUAAUUAGCUUGAUGACAAUGUAUAUUUUCGCAAGAUUUAGUAUUUAACAACUAAAAAGAGUUUAUUAGUCCAUGUAUACAUAAAGAAUUAAGAGUUCUUUGAUGGAUCCAUAUAGAAGAAUUUCUACCUUUGAUGAUUAGCCACUAAGCAAUUUUGUUUCAUAUCCUAUUGAUUUGUAUCUUAGAUUUAAUUUAUUAUCAUUUAACUUGAUUAUAUAAACCGAGAAAAGAGGAGAAAGAGACCUGAAAUCUGAUUUUUUUUUUCUACUUUCUGGCUGAUAAAAAUUAGUUUUUACAAAACCUGAUAACAAUUGCUAUUUGAUUAGUUAUUCCAACUAUUUAAUCUUAUUGUUUUUCUCAUUUUUCCAGUGCAUUAAACGUCCACUUCUUGUCUCAAAAAAUACACAGCUAGAAAAUUUAGUAUAUGGUUUAUAUCAGAUAGCUGAAUAUGUAUCCUUUGAUUAGAUAUGGAAAGUGGAAACAGAUAUGGGUUUUCCAAUGUCUAAUCGCUAUCCAAUCUUUUCACAAUAAAAAUUUUGAAUCAAUGUAAUGUGCAUAAAUAAAUUAUUUAGAUCCUGAUAGGAAAAGGGGAAGCUACCAUGUACAUGUGGUACUUAUUAAGACAACUUCAUAAAGUCAGGAGCCAUUUAAGAAGAAAACUUGGCUUCCUUUGGAGUGCAAAUAAACCAUGCCUUUCAUAUUAGUUUAGACAUACUAUAGAUCAAGGACUUCUAUACCACCCGAAACGGUAUAAAAUGGGCAGUACAUAUCAGUCUGGGCAAGGACCAGCAUGCGGGCUGUUCUGUUUUGGGCAGACCGGUCCAACUCACUAGAAAGAAAACCUCAAAAAGCUAAAUCAGCGAUUAAGGCUUGCAAACAUGACUGAAAUAGUUCUGGCACCCGAAAUGAUAGUCCUUGCGAUAGAGCUGACUUCAACAAAACCACGAAAUUCCACACAAAAAUUAUUGGAGAAAUCCCAGGACACAGUAGUCAUGUUCUUAUAGAGUAAAAAUGGAAAAAAAACUAGAGAACAAGAAUUAAGUACUUCCAAGACAUUAUCAUAAAAACUAGAGGUACCAGUUUAGCUCAGUAAAUGUGCAAAAUAAUUGACUGGCAUUUAUGCAUGUUAUACUUGGUCGUUGCAUGUUUUACAAGAUAUAAUAAAUUAUAUAUUUAUAAAAGCUAAUCAAAAAAUCUUAAAAGUUAAUUAUUCAAGUAUGAAGUCUAAUAAAGCCACCUAUCUAUCAGCAGCAAACACAAUUAAAGUUGUACCUCAUAUGCAGAUGGAUCAAGCUGGAACUUAAUAGGAAGAUCUGACCUAAAAACACCACUUUCAAGGCAUUCAACAUGCCCUCCAAUAUAUGUUUCACUUUCUAGAGGGCGGUUGUUGUAGAAUUUUUCAGGAUCAGAUUGGUGCUUGUUAGGACAAAUAACAUUAGCCUUGUAUGCCUGUGUACAGAAACAGAAUUACAAUGUCAGAUAAACAUCAAGGAACAGAAGAAAGCAAAUGAUCACGGAAGCAUAUGUUGAUUGCUAAACUUGAGUUCAUUACUGCUCAACAUCAUAACAUCAUAUUAAUUCAUGUAAGGUAGCACAUGCAAAGUUUGACUGAUGCUGAAGAUUAAUAAUCACACCAAGAGUUAGCUCCUUCCAGAGAUGCCUGUCCACAAAGUAGAAUAUCUACUGGAAAUGUUGUUGUUACUCUUGAAUAAUUUAAGAAGCAAAAAAUCAGUGCUUAAGUUGAACAGAGAAAAUUGCCAUCUUUUAUGUGUGUUAGCCAAUCUUUGUAAGUAUUAAACAGAAAUACAAAUAUCCCAACUGUUUGUACAAGUGUUUUAGCAUAGAACCACAUAAUCACAGAGGGAGAUGCACACAGACAAACACAUGACAAUGCAGACAACUCUUCUGCUGUUGUACUGAUAUAUGAAAACAGUUUUAGGAUGCAUACAUAAGUGUCCAUGUACGAUGCAUGUGGGAUUUACAUUAUACAAGUUCAAUCAUGUUAAAUAGAAUUCUUAUUUUGGUCAGAUAUUCAACAUAUUAGAUGACAUCAGAAACACAAAAUUCGUAAUCCUUCUGCAUUGUUCUAUAAUACUAGUACGGUAGUACCCCACCAUAUUGGUUAGCAAUUAUGGGGAUUGAACAUCCAGCUAAACUAAAUUAGCUCUGUGAAUAGGGGAUAAAGUGGAUCAAACAAUAUCCAUCUGAAUCCUUUUCUGUGCUCAAGUGGAGCUGGAUAUUACAUAGUAUGUUAUCACCUACCCUUAUUCAUAUAAAAAAAAAUUAUAUACAAAUAGUGAUGCGAGUCAAUUUAAUUCAUAUCUGAAUAUAUGAAAAUGUGAAUAUAUUCAAAAUUUUCAAAUUUAUCCAAAUCAGAAUAUUUAAGAAUGCAAUUAUUUCUUAAAAGUAUAAAUUUAUCUAAACUAUCUAAAUAUCUUAGUCUGUGAACAACUGAAUAUAUCUCAAAAGGUUAAGUUUAUCUUUACUUCUUCAAGGAUGAAAUGUUGAAAUAUCAUAAAUGUUUAGGUGUAUAUACCUAAACAUGCAUUAAUAAGCCUCUAAUUAUCCAUUAAACAUAGUACAAUAAGCUCAUAAACUUUGUAAGAAGCCAAUAAAGGUCAAUCUAAGCUAAUUCUUCUUAAAUACUCUAAUUAUGUCUUAAUUAAUCAUUAGUCACUAGUGUAUCAUCAUUGAAUAAAACUAUUUAAGCUAAUUACAUGACAUGAUAAAGAAAACAUAGAGAGAAGCUACAUGCCUUCAACUGGAGAUAUGUUCCACAUGAUAAAGAAUAAAAGAAAACAAAGUAGUCUUGUGGAGAAUUCUAGUAGGAUAUAUCUGGACCUCUUUUUGGAGACAUGUUCUCCAUGGAAUUUGGACCUCUUUUUUUCAUCCAGGAGGGUAUAUCUGGACCACUGGCAAGUGGUAUGUUGGAGUUGGAACUUGGAAGUCUGUUUAGACCUCACCAAAUCAUCAUUGACAUCUGUAAAGUCACACAUGAAACUUGAUCUCAAACAUCAAGCAUAUGCACGUUCUUACCAAAGACAAUGGUGGGACAUUUGGGCCUUGGUUGUAUGCCUAAACCAUUAAGUAUCUUGUAAUUUACUAUUAUCAGCAUUUAGUUACAUGUGAGGUUUCAUGUGGAACUAAUUGAUCUCAUCUGUGAUCAGAAGUACUGUUUGGAAUCUGGAUUAUGGACUUAUUUUGCCUGUGGAUGUUAAGUUGGCUAUUGUUGUUGUCAAAUGUUUAAAUUGGCUAUAAGCCUACAAUUAAGAUAUGCAAUACCGUACCAUACUGGUGUUUCGAGGUUGGCUCGGUACGGUAUGGUACCGGUAUACCGAGCGGUACACCAGGGCCUACCGAGCGGUACACCCUGGUGUACCGAAUAAUUUUAUAUUUUUUUAUUUAUUACUGUAGUACUGUAGCACUGCUAUAGUAUAAUAUUGUAGCACUGUAACGGUACCGGACGGUCCAUGUACCAGUAUGCCGUCGGACCGGUACAUACUACCCGUACCGGGCGGUACCAUUCGGUACUGCAUACCAUGCCUACAAUUAAUGUCUUCAAUGCUAGAAUGUUUUUCUUGAAUUAUGAUCAAAACCAAAAUCAAUGCUAGAAUGCUACAAUUCAUGUCUUAUUAUCACUUUAGUUUGGAAUAUGUAGCUUCCUGAAAGUUGCAGACCUUAUGGUGAAAAUUAUGUAUGAUGUUGUGGGUGUCUGUAAAACUUAUGACCUUCAGGAUAUGAGCAUGAGUUACUGAAGAUCACUUGUUAUAAUACAAGUUGAGUUCAGUGCUAAAAAGAACUAAAUGACCAUUAGAAAUUUAAUUAUGAUUCUUAUGGAUCCUUCAGGUUCUGUCUGAACCCAAGUCUAAGGACAUGUCAUGCAAAUUAUUAAGUUUCACUUUCUGACCUUGUUAGCCCAGGGAUGGCCACUAUAUCAUGGACUUACCUAACCAACCCUAAAUCAUGGACUAAAGUAUCAUGAAUAUGUAUGUACUAGUCAAAUACCAAAUGGAAACCCCCUACCCCGGUUAUAGUGGACUGAUAUUCCAAUGCAUGUUGAUAAGUGCUGUGCAUCAGUGGACACAUUGGCAAGUUCAGGGCAUUGUGCACCAGAUUCUAUGGACUGUAUAGUGCACUACCAGUUUAAUCCGUGUGCUUCAUAAAAGAAUGAAUUGAUUCUUCAAGAGCACACCAAAAGUUUUGUAGCAUGAAGCCAACCAAAAACAAUUGAAUAAAAGGAGCAUGCUAAAACUUGAGAAACCAAAACAUUAAUCAUUUCAAAACAACAUAUUUAUAGGAGUAUAAUAUCAAUGCAUUACAUAUGAUAACAGAUGUAAUGGAGUGACAGUAAGCUUGCACUGAGAAAAAACAAACCAUAAACGUACCUGCACCAUAAGAAGCAUUUCACAAAGUGUUCCACUUCCUUUUCGGAGGACCUCAUCUGGUGGCAUAGGAAUUAUAGUUGCAAGAGAGAAAAUGAACGGAUGAACAUAUGUCAUAUAUAGAAAAUAUGUUGCCACGGCAUCUGACACAGAAUAUGAUGCCAUCAUCUGAGAUAACAUCAAGGAAAAUUAAAUUCAAAUAAAAAACAUUAUGAACAAGAAUCAAAUUAGAGCAGAAUAUAUAAAAAAUCAACAGAAGCUUUGUUCCUCAUUUUUUGGUUCUCUGUUUUUUGUUCUCUAUUUCUUUUCUUUUUGUUUUUUUUUCUCUUUUCUUCCUUUUUUGUGUUAUUAAUGAAAUAAGCUUGCAGCAUUGCUGCUUUGCCUCAAAAAAAAGAAGGGUUAGGCAGUGCGACUGCAACAAAGAUAUCUUUUGGAUCAUUUUGAAGGAUCCUUAUUUGUACAAUAGCACAUAGUGAGCAAGUCAAAACUUUCAAUCUAAUGUACCUGUGGUUGUUCCAUGGCAAAACGAACCAUGUCUUCUGGAUUCACCUCCAGUGGAUCAUAACCCAAUUUAGCCUUUGUAACAGCCUGGUGAGUAACAGAAAUGUGUGAGUCUAAAAGAGUGUCAACAGAUUAUGGGAAGGUAUCUGCAGGAUCCUGGAGUGUAAAAGACUGCAGCUACCUUAGUUACUCAUAAACUAAAGCAUGGUAGUCAAAAGAAGUGACUAAUGAAUCCAGUGUAAUUACUGGAGAUGAAGCUAAGAUGAAUAUGUGUGGUUAGUGAUUUAAAAAGUAAUAGAAUUAUUUGUGUUCAUGAACAAUCAGGCACAAUUUGAUUGAGAAUAUAAUGACCAAGAAACAUGUUACAAAAAUUGUAAUCCAAGAAUGUACAACCUAAUCCUUAAGGUUGAAGAAACAAGAAAGAACAAAUUCACAAAAAAUAAGAACUUAUCUGGUUUUUUUAGUCUGUGUCAUAGUGCCUGCAGACCCACUGAUAUGUACACCAUUAAGUAAAUAUAUGCCCUCAGAAUACUCUAGUCGGAUUGCCUAGAAAAUCCUUCCAUAAAAUUUCUGCUGGGUCAGUGCCCAAACAAAUUAAGAUUGUUCACAAAAUAAGACAGUACAAGAAUCCAAUGUUACGUUUCAUUUAAAAAAACAAAUAUCACAUUUUGUCAGUGUCAGCUGGGGCAAGGAUUCAAUACUGGUCUUAUACUGCUUUUAGUGAUCUAUCAGACUGGUACAGUACUACUAUACUGAAUGGUGUACAAACCAGGGUCUGCCGUACCGAACUGUACCGUCCGGUACGGGUGGUACGUACCGGUCCGACAGGUUGUCGGUACGCGGACCGCCUGUUACCGGUCCGAGUGCACUGUAGUACUGUAGCAGUGCACUAUAGCACUACACUGUACUCGAUAUACCUGGGUGUACCGCUCGGUAUACCGUACCGUACUGUACCGGUACCGAGCCCAGGUCGAAAUACCGGUACGAUACGGUAUUGCGAAUCUUGGUACAAACCAGCACCACCCUACAUAAUUGAAUAAAACAAAAAAAAUUAAAUGAAUGGCACUGUACCAAAACUGAGCUAUAUAUCUCAACACUGGUACUUGGUUGAACCGGUAAAUAAAGUCUAUAUGUACCAAUCUGACCAGUAUUUAAGUCCUUUAGAGUAGCAAUGAGAUAACCAAUAGUAUCUACUUCUUACACCAUCAAAGAAAACCAAAGUUGUAGAAAUCUAAUAUAGGAAGUUAAUGCCUUUCAAACAAAAUAUAAACUUGCAUCAACAUAUGUCCAAACGUCACACACACACACACAAGAAAACUAUAAUUUUGCAUGCCUUGAUUUUUGCAUAUAACUUAAAGAUUAAAGAAAAUGGAAAAUGUCACAUGCGCACACACGCACACACACACACACAGUUACAAACCACCUAGUUCAACAAAUCAGGAAAUAAAUGUGUGUGUGUAUUCAAGUGCUUUGUCUUUACCAAAAUGUUCCAACUAUGGAACUUGAUUAAUCAGAUUCAAGUUAAAUUUAUUCACCUUAAGACCUUGGCUUCCUUGAGGAAGGUAACUAUCACGUUUCACCCAAGCAAAACAAUCAAGAUGACAAGAAAAUUUGGCACGACACUCCCCUUGGUUACUGUCGCACUGGAAACCAAUUUCCUGAAAGGAGUAAAUGCAAGCUAUAUAUGAGAAAAGAUACAGAUUAAUGAUAGCAGCAUACUGACUGAAUAACUUCUACAAGAACAAUUGUUGAGUCAUAAGUAAUUAUGUACUGAUAUCUCCACAAAAAAACAAAGAAAUAUCAUAUGCAUGAAUAGUAGCAUAUCAUACAGACACUGGGAAAUCUUUCAUGUGGUACAUGGACCAUACCACUCUCAAAUUAUCAAUCUUAGGUUGUUUCAUUAUAAAAUGAUUAAAAUCAAUUCAUCAUUUAGUGGAAAAUUAAAAUAUUAACAAAAUUUUAGAAUAAGCAACAAAGCACAUCAGACAAUUCACAGUUGGAAGAAUUUAUUAACAUAUUUCUCCAAGGCAAAAAGACCUCUAAUUAUGGAUUGCUUCACACAUGAUAGCACCCUUAAAAAUUGUAUACCUCAAGAUUCAAAUGCCAAAUCAUACCGACCAUACUGACCACUAUAUCAUAACUGAUAAUUGAAAAAAUUAUAUUAUUUUCCAGAAGUGUAUCAUGGUAUAAUAUGCCAACCAGUCUGACAAUGGCCAUUGUAGACACAGCUCGGUAUGUAAAUCCUUGGUACAUACAGCUCCAUCAUAUGACUAGUAUGUAGAGCAACCUUACUGAUUUAACCUACAUAUCAGCCAAAAAAGCAGGGGUCUCGAGCGGUUUUGCUAAUCAGUUCACUUAUAAAUGAAGUGAACUAGUCUGGUCCACUUUAAGAGUAUUUCACACAAUCGAGCCCAAGGCAGCCAGUGAGAGAAAGGAGGUCCAUAAGGCUAGGGCUCUAACUUAAGAGUAGAAUCAUACAAAUGGUAUUCUAAAUUCAGAUCCAUUUUCACCGGAGACUACAUUUUCUUCUUAAAGUAUCAACUCCUAUAUUUCAGCUUAGUGACUUGAUUUAGAGGCUUAAUUUAUAAUUCAUGUUUGAUUUAGCCAAAAUAUUUAAGAAAAGAGUACUAGGCCAAUGCUGGGAUACCGUGUGUUGGUAUUCCAUCAUACCAAAGCCACAAGUGGAUAAGAAUUAAAACUGAUAGAAAAUGAUAUUUUCAGACUAGUUCUAUUCCCCUUCCCUUGCUGAUCACUCCUCUUUUCACUCUAUAAACCAGUCAUCAUCAACACUUUUCCUUGAUCUAUCUUUCCCUUCCCUCCUCUCAACCCUCUUCCAAACCUUCUCCCUACCAUUCUUAAAAGUCUUCUGAAGGAAAAGUCUAAUUUCUCAAGGAGAGUGUUAGAAUUGAAAAUCUAAAAUACUAGGCCCAUGCUGUCAUACCGUGUGUUGGUAUGCCUAGCACAUUUUGGAGUAGUACUAGUCUGGCCAACGGCCGGCAUGGGUCUGGUACCCAAAAUGUCAAACCAUGAUCAUGAUAUUCUAGACUUGCACGUUCACUAUGUGAUAGCAGUAAAAGAUGGAUUUGAACAAGGAACAAGAGUAAGCAUAAUAAGACAAUAAAUGAGCACAUCUAGGGGAAAGGCUGAAUUGUGCUUGUACAAAUGCAGUAAACAAAUCAUGAUAUUCCAGCAUUACACAUAAUUGAAGUUGGAAUUGUAUAAGGUAUAUACGCCACAUCUUGAAUGCAGCUACAUAUAGUUAUCUGAAAGAAUAUUCUGCACACACCUCACUCAUUUUAAUACCAUGAUGAGAAGCUCUUUUCUCUAGGAAUGGCCAGUCGAAGAAAUCUCCAUUGUAAGUGACAUAUAUACCUGGCUUAGCCUCUUGCAUGUGGGCAAACCAUGCUUUUAAAAGCUCUCCCUGCCAUGCCAAGAAAACUUAGAAGUGAGACCAAGAUUAUAAAUUACAGAUGAUGUAUACAAUAACUAAUUUACAGGAUUUAUGGGAAGAUACCUCAUCUUUCACGUUUCUUACUUUAAAGCAACCUUCAAAUUCUGGUUUUGGAGUAUACUCCAAAUCUUCAAUAUCCUCACCAACACACUACCAAUACAGAACAGGGGAUGCAUAAGCAUACAGUUGAUUGACCAAAAUUAAAUGAAAGAUGAGUUCCAGCAUUGCAGAGAUAGUAUGCAAGCAAACCAAGAAAUACAGAAUUUAAGACAACUUUUAAUGAAAUAUUACAUGUUAUUGCCUUUGCCAAAUCAGAUCUUAAUUUAUUAAUAGUUCAAAACAGUAUUGCCAUUAGUGCUAUGAGGUCGCAUUUCAAGACAUAAAAUAACACCAAAGCCAUUUCAAUCACCCAGGAUGAUUAUCAAUUCAUGUUCAGUAUCAUGCAAACUGAGAAGGAUUUCCUGAAGGAAGAAAACAUUAGUUGUGCAGAAUAAUAUAACAUCAUCAGCUUAUAGCAGCUUAAGAAAAAUGGGGGGAAAACAAUGACAAUACGAGAAUUUAAUCAGUGGAAAACAAAUGUAAUAUCUAUUCAAGAAUUUGAAAUUAGCAACAUCAAGCUCCAAUAUCUAAGGAUGUCAAUUAAAAUGGCAUUCUGUCUAACCUCCCGGUUGAUUAUCAAGUACCCUUGUCCAUCGAUCAUGUAUGAUAUCAUCAUUAUGAGAUCAUAUUCAGCAUCUGGAAAUUUCAGAGGGAGCUUUGUUGUCUCAAUAUCAAAUGCACAAACAUGAACUUCUGCCCGUUGAAGAAGAUCAGACCUUUUCUCAAGCAAAAUACCAGCACUAAAGACAGAUAUAUCAUACCACAGACCACAUCUAACAUCUGCAUUAAAUAACAUUUCCAUUAUUAGGUAUUACCACCAAGGUAUACAGUUUCGAAUAAUACCGUCCAUACCGAGCGGUACGUACCGGUCCAUCAGCUGACCGUUACACGGACCGCCCAUUACCGGGCAGAAUAUAUAUAUAUAUAUAUAUAUUUAUUUAUUUAUAAAAGGCGACGUCGCCUUUUUUCGGCAACGUCACCGAGGCGACGCGACAUCACNNNNNNNNNNNNNNNNNNNNNNNNNNNNNNNNNNNNNNNNNNNNNNNNNNNNNNNNNNNNNNNNNNNNNNNNNNNNNNNNNNNNNNNNNNNNNNNNNNNNNNNNNNNNNNNNNNNNNNNNNNNNNNNNNNNNNNNNNNNNNNNNNNNNNNNNNNNNNNNNNNNNNNNNNNNNNNNNNNNNNNNNNNNNNNNNNNNNNNNNNNNNNNNNNNNNNNNNNNNNNNNNNNNNNNNNNNNNNNNNNNNNNNNNNNNNNNNNNNNNNNNNNNNNNNNNNNNNNNNNNNNNNNNNNNNNNNNNNNNNNNNNNNNNNNNNNNNNNNNNNNNNNNNNNNNNNNNNNNNNNNNNNNNNNNNNNNNNNNNNNNNNNNNNNNNNNNNNNNNNNNNNNNNNNNNNNNNNNNNNNNNNNNNNNNNNNNNNNNNNNNNNNNNNNNNNNNNNNNNNNNNNNNNNNNNNNNNNNNNNNNNNNNNNNNNNNNNNNNNNNNNNNNNNNNNNNNNNNNNNNNNNNNNNNNNNNNNNNNNNNNNNNNNNNNNNNNNNNNNNNNNNNNNNNNNNNNNAUAUAUAUAUAUAUAUAUAUAUAUAUAUAUAUAUAUAUAUAUAUAUAUAUAGUGUGUGUGUGUGUGUGUGUGUGUGUGUGUGUGUGUGUGUGUGUGUGUACCGAGCGGUAUACCGAAUAGUAUACCGCUCGAUAUACAGUAUCGUACCAUACUGAGCGAACGUCAAAACUCUGAUACGGUACGAUAUUUCAAUCCUUGAUUACCACUAUAGAUCAUAUAGGAUUGUGCAGUUUCUACAAACAAAGAAAAGAACAUUAACAUAAAACCUACCAUUAUCAAUAGCAAAACGAACAUGAUAGGGAACAUCAUAUUCACGAAGAUCAAUAAUGCAAUCCAUUAGAUCUUGUGGCCUUUCCUUUCUGAAAUAGACAAUCAAAAAAGCAAAAACAAAGCCAUUAGAUAAGACAGUAAUAUGUGAGUACCUAAUACAGGCAAAAAACAAAGCCAAGGUACCAAACCAUAAAGAAAGGAAGUGAACAUAGAAUGAAAACUCAAGUUUUAGAUGAUUGGCAUUAUGGCAUAUAUAACAACAUUGACUAUUUU
Molecule: long non-coding RNA, 59955 nt
Filed under: Musa acuminata (dwarf banana)
Lineage: Eukaryota; Viridiplantae; Streptophyta; Magnoliopsida; Zingiberales; Musaceae
Description: long non-coding RNA (MACU_LNC005192)
Source: RNAcentral